GAUGAGUAUAGUUGAGAAUUACAACGGUGAUGAAAAUGAUGAUGAAAGUGAAAAGAAAGAGAUUUUACAACGCAUGGAAUGUUUUAAUCGAUUAUUUGUUGCUGGAUCUUCUUCCGUGCAAUUAUAUUACGAGAAGUAUAUAUUGAGGCAACCAUGCAUGGAUUCAAAACAGUCAGGUAAGACAUGGAUCCGAGAGAUCCUCGACGGUCAUGAAUCACGUUGUAUGAUUAAUUUUAGGAUGUCUAAAAUGGUAUUCACAAGUUUGUUGAGAGUUUUGGAGACAAGAUACAACUUGAAAACUUCAAGAAACAUAUCUUCUAGUGAAAUGUUGGGAAUUUUUUUAUACAUCUUGGGCACCGGCGCAAAAGGAUCCCAAUAUCGAGAAAUAUUUCAGAGGUCUGGAUCAACAAUAAGUCGACACUUUGCAAUUGUGCUUGAGAAAGUUUCAAGGAUGGCCACUGAUCUAAUUGCACCCGAAGAUCCUUUUUUUAGCUCAAUACCCGAACAAAUACGUAAUGAUUCUAGAUAUAUGCCGCAUUUUAAGGUUAAAAUUUAAUUUUAUAUUAUUAUAUUUUAAUAUAUUUGGUUGAAUAAAAAUAUGCAUGAGAGUAAUAUGAUUAUUUGUUCAGGAUUGCAUUGGUGCAAUUGAUGGUACUCACAUUGCCGCUAUUCUUCCACCAAAUGAACAAAUUCCCUACAUUGGAAGAAAAGGUAUCCCGACUCAAAAUGUUAUGGUAGUAUGUGAUUUUAAAAUGUGUUUGACCUUUGUCAUGGCUGGAUGGGAAGGAUCGACACAUGACACUAGAAUAUUUCUUGAUACAAUUUGAGAUCCGAAAUACAAAUUUCCGCAUCCACCAAAUGGUUAGAUAUUUUUUUAUGUGAUUUUUUAAAUAAUAAAGUAUAAGUUCUUUAAUUGAUAAUUUUAAUAAAGUAAUAUGAUUAAUUGUUUGUUAUAUUAUGACUUGUAGGAAAAUAUUAUCUUGUUGAUUCUGGAUAUCCUCAAAUGAAAUGUUAUCUUGGACCAUAUAGAGGUCAGCGAUAUCAUUUACCUGACUUUCGUAGAGGUAGACCGGUAUCUAGUAAAGAAGAGGUAUUCAAUCAUUCACAAUCAUCAUUACGUAGCGUGAUUGAACGAACUUUUGGUGUUUUGAAAAAAAAUGGGCCAUUUAAGGGAUAUGUCAAGUUAUAGUUUUGAGAAGCAAACGAUGAUCGUUGUUGCUACAAUGACGAUACACAAUUUUAUCUGAAAAUAUGUCGGUCAAAAUGAUGCGGAUUUUAUGGAAUACGAAGAUAUUAACUGGGCAUAUGAGAAUAUUAUUGAUUCAGAAAAUGCGCAUGGUCGAGAAAGUGAUGAUGACGAUGACAACGAUGAUGAUGGUGAUGAUGACGGUGAAUUAAACAAUUCAAGUGGUUUUGAAAUGAAAUUAACAAGAGAUGCUAUAGCUUCUAGUUUAAUGAAUUCACUUUAAAUUGUAAAUGCUAUUGUAAAAUUUUUAGUAUUUAUAUUUGGUAUAUAAAUAUUAUCCCUUUUUAAAACUUUAAUCCAAAUAUAUGUAAUAUUUUAAUUCGUUAGGUUUAUGUUUUCUAUGUUAUGUUAGUAUAUAAUAUGAGUUAUAUAUUCAAAUACAUUUUAAAAUAAAAUAAUACAAAUGUGUUAAAAGCAUUAAUUAAAAAUAAAAAAUAAUUUUUAUAAUAAUACAAUCGUGUCAAUAUCUAAUUACAAAAAUUUAAUUUUUAUAAUUAAAUAUUUAAAUAUAGUUUAUAUAUUCUAAUUAAAUUUUAUAAAUUGUUGUCAUUAAUAUUAAUUACUUAGAAAUAUUUAAAAUUAAUAUUAUAUAUUAAAAUAUUAACAAUAAGUUAUAAUAAAUUAUUUUUUUAUAUUUUUGCUAAAAUAUCAUAAUAUUAACUAAUUUAAACAUUAUUUAAUAUUUGUUAUUUUAUAAUAUCAUGUCUAAAAUGGACAUUUUAUUCUUCAAAAACACUUUUUGAUAGCAAUGCCAAACACUCAAAUUUCUCAAAACACUUCUCAAAAGCACUUUUUAAAAGCAAUAAAGAACUGGCCCUUACUCAUUUUGAGUAUGUUCAUAUGAUAUGGCUAAAGAUUACCUAUUGAAAUGGUUAGUAAAGAAUAUGUUUUGGUGUUAUGUAUGCUUAAAUGGUAACUGAAACAAAGAAACUAUAAAAGAGUAAAAUUUUUGCAAAGAAGCAGUUUUUGGACAACAGCAGUGACGUGAAUUUGAAAAAUCACCAAAAAUAUUAGAAAUGGAAUAGAGAGUGAAUGAUAUAUAGAGCUAAAGCUUAUCAAGUCUAUUUUUACAUGAAAGAAACGGUGUAGGCAAAGAAAUUUUAUAUUUUGAGAUAUUUAAAUUUUAGUUAGACAGGGUCAGAAUGGUUUUUGAAGUCCCCUGUUCUAAAUUUAAAAAAUCAUUAAAAAUUUUACAGAAAGAAUUAUGAGUUAUAAUUUAUAUGUAUAGAUUCCUUAGUGAGUCUAUUUUCUAUAAAAAUAAGAAGAAACACCAUAUAAAGUCUGUACAGUGAGAUAAUUUAUUUUUAGUGAGUGGUGGUCAGAACCAUCAGUCAGUGAAACAGGGGAGUCUUCAAUGAAUAAACUGUACUAAUUCGCUAAACCAAUAAUUCUAAAAAAUUUAUUGUAAGAAUAUAUAUGAGUCUAGUUUCAGGAAAAAGUUUACGGAUUUAAAUUUCGAGUUUCAUAACUCAAAUUAUAAUUAAAUUAGUGAUAGCAGCGCAGGUGGACAGUUUUGUUGUGAAUAGUGAAAUUAAUUUUAAAAGUAAAUUUUUAUGCUCCGAACUAGUAAGUUAAGUUAGAUGACACAUCGUGCUUGACUUCGGCAAUGGUCUCGGGUAAGGGGUGUUACACCUUUCUUUCAUACCAUCAACCAAAACAAUUCUAUUAAAUCUCAUUGCUAUUGGUUGGCGACAUUCAAAUAUACAUCUAACUAUUGUUGUCAAAAUUACUUCAUCGGAAUAAACGCAUACGAAAAAUUGACAAUCCAUUUUCAAUACUAAAUAUGCAAAAUUAAUUAAAUUUCUCAAUAUUUUAUUUGAAAAAAAUACUGAAAAAAAUUAAAAUUCAUAUAUACUAACCUUGCAUAUUCUUCUUUGUUUUCACUUCUUUUACAUUCAAAAUUUUUCCUCUUUUCCUCUUAUCUUCAAAACCGUUCAAAAUACAUUGCUUAAAUAGGGGUUCAGCACUGGGUGCCGCCUUUUAGCCACCCUCCACUGGGUGCCACUUGUCAAGUACCCUCCACUGGUCCCGUCUCUCAAUCACCCUCCACUUCUUUAACCCGUAUUUUUACUCGAUUUGACUCAUGUAUAAGGACAGAAUACAGGUGUCACCUCUCUCACUCCCUCUAUAAUUAAUAUAUAUAUAUAUAUUACCCCAUAUCAUUUUGUAAUGAUGUUUUGAUGAUCAAGUCAAAAAAAAAAAGUGGUGCCGCCUCCUCCAUACCCUCCACCUUUAAAACUGUUGCAAACAUACUAUUUUGGUAAAUAAUGAUAUUGGUAUAUCAUUUAGGUAUUUGAUUUUUAUUUUUGUAUUAUCUAUGUAAAAAAAACAGUCUAAUUUCUAUUUUUGAAUAAAUUUAAACUUUUAUUGUAUAUUAAUAACUAAAAUUUUAAAGACACUUUUGUCUUUUAAAAAUUUAUAUAAUAAAACAAUGUAAACCGCCAUUAAAACGGAUUAAUCAGUUCAAAUUGACAAUCAUUACAUAAGUUGCUACCUAUGCUAAUGUUGUUGCUUUUUCUGAAAAUUUUAGUGACUGGACAAAUAAGGGGUGGUAGGCUCAUUACUUUUUAAUUAUUAAUUAAAAAACUUAGAAAUUAAAAGAAUAUAUAUUGAAAUUUAUAAAAAAUAAAAAUUGAAUAUUAAAUAAAUAUAAACAUAAAAAAUGUUAAAAGUUUAGAAAUUAAUUUUUUUUUUAAAUUGAUUAGUCAACUCUUAGUGAAAAGGCAUUUAUUGAUCAGUAACUCUCAUUCAGUUAAUUGACCUAAUCCACUUUAGGUUGAGCUUAAGCUUAGAUUUUUCAAUUUUAGAUCAACAUGUUUUAUUAUUAAAAUUAAUAUAAAAUAUAAAAAAUAAUUAUAAUUAUAUAUUUUUAUAAUUAAAUUCAAAUAAAAAUGUAUUUAAAAUGGAGGAUAAUAUACACUUAAUUUAGCUUGAAUUCAUCUCUUUCUGAUUGUUGCAACAAUAACGAUGAUAGUUAAAGUAAAGUUCAAUUGACACUUAUUAUUUUCUUUUAUAGGUGUCGUGAUUAAUUUAAAAAUAGAUAAAUUUCAAAAUUAUAUACAAACUUUAGCUUAAUGUGUAAUUUUAUACAUGGAUUUUAAUUUCAAGUAAUUUUAUACAUGAAAUUUUGAUUUGAUUCAAUUAUCAUACAAUAUGUUGAGAAACGUCAAUGAUCGUAGUUAACUAGUGAUACGCGGAUGAUGAGCACAAGAGAAACAAGGUAGAGGAGAAAAGGCGAUAGCUAGGGCACGAAAAAGAGAAAAGAAAAUAACCGGAAGUAACUUUCAUUAAAAUGGUAAAAAAGUAUAUUUUAAAUUAUAAUUAUAAUAUAUUUAUACAUUAACAGUUUAGUCCCUAACCAAUUAACAGUUUCUAGUUAGAUUACAAACUAAAAUACUAACUAACCAGUGACUAUCAACUAGCCUUUCAACAAAACAAUUAUUAACAUAAUUAUUGAUAUAAUUUUAUUUUAUGUUACAUAUUGUAUAUAUAAAUAAUUAUAUUUAUUUAAUAUAAGAAUAAAUUAAUGUAUUUAUUUAUUUUAAUUAUGUAUGAUUGAAUCAAAAUUAUGAAUAUGAUUUUUUUAUAAAAAAACAACUUGAAUAUCAUGAGGGUUUUUUACAAAAUUAUUAUAAAAAAAUAAAAAACAACCAAAAUAUUAUAACUUUUUUUAUUUACCAAAAUAUUAUAAUUUUUUAUUUACCAAAAAAAAAACAAAAAACAGAAAAAAAAACCUGCACCAAAUUGACAACACCCUGGUCAGGCCAAGGUGAUUGGCGGCACCAAAGGUGCCAAACUCAUUGGCGGCACCUAGCUUAUAAUAGGGCCGGUCGGUGGUUGGGGGGAGAAGGAGGGGAAAGAAAGAAAGAAAGGAGAGGAAAGAAAGAAAGAAAGGAGAGGAAAGAAAGAAAAAGAAGGAAAGAAAAGGAAAGGAGAAGAGAAAAAAAGAAAGAAAGAAGAAGAAGAGGAAAGGAGAGGAAAAAAGAAAGAAAAAGAAGGAAAGAAAAGGAAAGGAGAAGAGAAAAAAAAAAGAAAGAAGAAGAAGAGGAAAGGAGAGGAAAAAAGAAAGAAAAAGAAGAAAAGAAAAGGAAAGGAGAAGAGAAAAGAAAAAAAAAAAGAAGAAGAGGGAAGGAAGGAAGGAAAAAAAAAGAAAAAAAGGUAAUUUUUAUUAUAAAUUUAAUUUUUUUGUAAUAUUUGUGUGUUAAAAAUUUAUGUUAUGUAAUGUACAUUAUACGUAUUUUAUUAUUUUAUUUAGCAUAUAUAUUUUAUGAAAUACAUUUAGAAUGAAAAAUUCGGGCAAAUUACUAAAAAAAGCCCUAUUUUUUUAAAAUUUACCGAAAUGGGCCCGGUAUUUUGUUAUUUACUGGAAUGGGUCAUUUUCUCGAAAUCGCGUCCACGUCAGCGCGAUGUCAAGGGACGUGUCAGAACAUCGCGUCCACGUCAACGCGCUUUGCUUACGUGGACACAAAUCGCACCUACGAGGACGCGAUUUGCUGAUGUGGAUGAACAGUUUAUGUUUUUUAGCUUGGAAAACUUUGAAAGGCCAUAAAUUUUGGCUCGGUUGUUCGAUUAAGACGAUUUUUUUUAUUUCGAAUAACUUUUCGAGAUCUACGUGCUGACAAACAACCAAAGGCGGUUUGCCGCAGUUUUCGUCGAAAAAGAUCCUUUUUUGCCCCUAAAUUUCGAUUUUUUCGGUUUAAAAUUGAAUUUUGAAACAUUCAAAUCAUUAUUUUCCUUAUUUAUUUGAAGUAAACACCGUAUUUUUUUUACAGAAUUGUUGUAUUAUUUUUUCUGAUUUGACACGUGUAUGGAAUAGGUCCGAUAAAUCGUUAGAACGUAAGUAAUAUAAUUAAGAUAAUAACAGUAUUUCUAUAAUAUGUCAAUUAAUUAGUUUAGCUUAGUUGGUUAAGAUGCUUGCUCUUUUCUCUUAGUACCUUGGUUCAAAUCUUGUUGGUAACAAUUUUGAAUCUUUUUUGUACUUGUUGCUAUUGAUGUAAUAUUGAAGAGUUAAUUGAUUAAAAAAAUAAAUACAAGUACAAAAAGAUUCAAAAUUUAUUUUUUCAAAAUACUAAAAAAGCCCUAUAUAUCGAAAUGUGCCCGAUAUUUUAUUUUUUUGACCGUUGGGUACUGUUCACGCGCGGGCUGAAAUCGCAUCCACGUCAGCGCGAGAUGCUGACAUGGAAGGAAAUCGCGUCCUUGAGAGCGCGAUUUCCUUCCACGUCAGUAUCUUGCGCUGACGUGGACGCGAUUUCCUGACAUCGCGCUGACGUGGACGCGAUUUUCAGGAAAAGGACCAUUCCGGUAAAUAAUUAAAAAAUGGUUCCAUUUCGGUAAUUUUUGAAAAAAAAGGCUUUUAUUGGUAAAUUGCCCGAAAAAGUUAUGGUAUGUACAUUGUAUGUUGAGUAGGGAUUUUUUUUAUGAAAUUUACUUAGGAUGUUGAAAUUAGUUGUUUUAGGAAAAUAGUAUUAAAAGUAAAAUGAUAAAGAAAUAUGUUUAAGAAAACAUAAAACACGAAAAGAAAAAAAUAGAAAUUGUAUAUUUAUCGAAAAUAAUAAAAUGCGAAAAAAAUUGUAUAUGUAAUAAAUUUCAAACACAAUGCAUUGAAAUAAUGUAAAAUUAUAAAAUAAAAAAUUAUGAUAUUUUUUAAAAUAAUUAAAUGCGGAUAAAAAAAUACGAACAAAUGACCGAAGUACGAGUAUUAGUAAAUUUUUUAAAAAUUCAGAAAUAAUUAAUACAAAUUAUUAAAACAAAAUGUACUGAAAUAAUAUAAAAUAAUAAAAUACGAAUAAAUGGCCGAAGUAAGAUUUUUUUACUAACUUUUUUUUCAACUUGUUGGCAUUGCAAUGAUUCGAUUGAUUGGAAGCGAUAGACACAUAUCUGAUGCGGCUAAUAACGCGGUAUGAUUUAUUAUUUGUUAAUCACGAGUUCUAUUUAUUUAAAAAGGAUAUACGCAGUAUAUACAAAUAAAUCAUGUUAUCGUAAUAUUUUUUGUAAUUUAACACUAACAGGACUCGUUCCGAGUAUUAAGGGGCCGUGUGAGUGUUUUAAAGAAAGCUCCGGAUGCACGAUUGAUGCCGUACUUGGAGCUAGCCGGAUUUGGGUCAGUAGCAUUGAUCUGGUCCUCCGACUUGCACUUUGAUUUAUUAUCUGCGCUAGUGGAGCGGUGGCGCCCGGAGACCCACACUUUUCAUUUUCCAUGUGGGGAGUGCACGGUGACCUUGGAGGAUGUUGCAUUGCAGCUUGGGCUCCCAAUUGACGGGAGUCCCGUAACGGGAGUAUCUUCAUUUACCGAUCCGACUGCACUUUGCUAUCAGCUCCUAGGAGACUCGCCAGGGGACAGUGAGUCAUAUUUUUUCGGCAUAAAAUUGACAUGGCUGAAAGCCAAAAUUGGACAAUUAUCAGCGACUGCAACUGAAGGUGAGUUGAUGUGUGCUGCUCGAGCGUACAUCAUGCAUAUGGUAGGGGCAGUACUCAUGCCUGAUGCAAACGGCGAUAAUGUGCAUUUGAUGUACUUGCCCCUGUUAGCUGAUUUGUCCACUGCUAGGUCGUAUAGCUAGGGUUCCGUCGUUCUAGCAAUGUUGUAUCGGGAGCUUUGUCGGUCGACAAACCCGAAUGUUGUAGACAUGGGCGGAUGCCUCAUACUACUGCAGUCUUGGGCGCUUUAUCGGCUGCCGUUUUUGGCAUCCGUUAGUCACCAACCAUAAGUGUAUCCACUGCUGAAUAGGUGAUAAAAUAUAAAUUGUCAUUAUUUUGUAGUCAUAAUGUAUUGACUAAUGUUACCAACCCUAAACCCUAUAUUAUUUUUUGUAGGUGGAGUGUUCAUCCAGGCAUUGGGAAGUCGUAUGAUGUCCCGAUAUACCGCCUCAUGAUUGAACAGCAUGCCCGGAAAGGGGUAAGCUGCUAUUCUAAUAUUCAUGACAUCUAUUCUAUUUCUAUAUCUUACUCACACGUUAUGCCUCUAACUCGUUACAAUGUUAUUAAUCAUGCAGUUUAUAUGGAUGCCAUAUCGUAGGUCAAAAAUUACAAAUGUUGUACCCUCGUCCGCAUACGUUGAUUCCCACAUAUGGUGCACUAACGCACCAAUUAUCAAUUUCAAUGUAGUCGAGUGGUAUCACGAAGAUCGGGUGCUACGACAGUUUGGUUGCAUCCAACCUAUCCCGGAUCCGCCGUGCCAGGUGGGGGAAGUUCACGGCAUGACUAAGAGAGGAAGAUUUUAAUUGGAUUGGAGAAUUAAGCAUCGGAAAUUUGUAGCACUGUGGAACGAUCGAUUGCGUCGAAUACCUCAGAUGGUUAUGGCUACCGACCCGCAACCAUCACUAGAGUAUAUUCAAUGGUAUUAUAGUUGUGGGAAGCCAUAUAUACUUGGAGGCCAGUCGACUGUAAUCCCCCCGCACGUGCAGCAACUUGAGGGAUCGGACGCAGCGGACCCGAUGGAUCCAGAUCCGGUGGCAUAUUAUUGUCCGCAACCAGCAGAGCUCGAGUAAGAAGCCCAGCCAGAUCCCGAACAAUCACAGUCAAAUGUGGAUUCACAUGGCUAUCGUCCGGAUUUGGCGGGCGAUGACUAUUUUCUAAGCUUCGCCUACGACUUUGAACUGUUUGGAUCCUACCCGCCGCAGUACAACAUGCCCGGCCCGUCUGACCCGUAUCCGCAGCAUCAUGGGACUCAUUCCGGAUCAAGUUCAUCCGUGGCGAAUGAGCCACAGGAUUUUUCCUCUAUGUUUGCCACACCCCCACCUGCGCCGAAUGAUGAUGUUGGUCAUCGCCCAGAACGUGAUCGUCGACCUCCGAAUAGGUAUACCCUAGGACAACACCAUCGAACCAUCAAUUUUAGGGGCUUAAUACACUUUUUGUAUAAAUUUAAUAUUUCUAAUUUAUUAUUUGCUUACUUCUGAAAAUUUUUGUAUAAAUUUAAUUAUUCUAUUUUUUCAUUAUAUUAAAGCUGAAUCCAAUUAUAAAUGUCUCUAUUGUCGAUAUAAUUUUAAUAAUUCCUAAUGCGCACAUGGUAUUUUAUAACUUAAUUUGGAUACAAUUUGGAUACAAUUUAAGCAUAAACAUAAGCCGAAUAAUAAAAAUUAUUUCAAAUGAAUUAUACUUUUUAUAACAAUAUACAUAAAAAUUUUACAGCAUUAGGUCAAUUCUGAACCGAUCCGGACGACUGUCCAACAUUAAAGUUUCGGUUAGGGCAUUUAUUCCGACUAUGACCACUUAACCUGCAUAUUCCACAAUGCUUUCCGUCAGAUUUCUCCCUAAUGUCCAUCUCAUUACGGAUUCUGCUUGACUGCGGACGACCCCUUGGAUUCCUCCGUAGCCCUCUGUGUAACAGCCCGAUUUUGGGUCUAGAUGGAACAGUGGUUUUGGGACCACAAAUCCGACAAGGAAAAAUUUAUUUUAAAAUUAUGACAUGGGUUGCAUUAUGAUAAGAAGGUUGCAUGAAAAUACUGAUAUGGUAAAAUAAGGAAAUAAAGUGAUAAAAAGGGUAAUUGAGUUAUGUCAACAUUGGAAAGUAUAUUAUGACAUAUUAUUCAAGAAAGGAUUAAAUUGCAAAAGUGAAAAAAGUUUUGUUACCCAAGAGUAAAUACUCAAAAUUUGAGGGGUUAAAGUGUAAAUAUAAAAAAUUUGAAGGACCAAUAGUGUAAAUAUUUUAAGGAUGGAAUAAUCUAGAUACUAAGGAAGAUGGAUGAAUUGGGACCAAAUUGAAUAGAUGAAGAAAUUAUGAGGGACUAAAUUGUAAUUUUACCAAAUUUAAUGAUGACUCAAUGAUGGAAUUUUAAAAUAACAUAAAGGGAAAAAUGGUCAAUUAGAAAGAGAGAGAAUUCUAGAAGGUAAUGAUGAUGUUUGUGAUAUUUUUAAUUAAUUAAUUAGUUAAAUGUUAUUUAAUUAAUAUUUUAUUAAGAUUUUUAGUAAUAUUUUAUUAUUAAAUGAUUAAUAUAAAAGGGAGGAAAGAUGAUGAGAAAUAAUAAUCUUUUUCAUGCAUCUCACGUUGAAGAGAAGAGAGGAAAGGAAGUUUUACUUUCUUUACAAUUUGGUCCUUUUACAAAAAAAUCACCAUUUUCACUUAGAAAUUAAAAGAAUUUUCAUAUCCAUCAAGAGAGAAAGAUAACAAGGAGACUAUGGGGAGCUAGAAUAUCAAGUUAGAUUCAAGAAAUAGAAGCUGGAGGAGAGAGAAAAUCAAGUUAAAGAUUGAAAUCAAUAGCACAAGGUAAGAACAUCAAGAUUUUUAUGUACUUUUGAGUUUGAUAUUAUUGGAAAUAGCAUGCAAAAGAUGUUAUAGUAGAGUUUUCUUAUAUAAAGUCUUAUGUUCUUGAUAUAUUAGUGAAGAUAAAUAAGUGAAAGUGAUGAGAAUUAUUAUAGAGAAAGGGAAUAAAGAAGUUAUAAACUUAGAAAUUAACAUGUUGCACUAAAAUAGUUUUGGGCAGCAGCAGUAGGUUAACUUUGAAAAAUCACCAUAAAUUGUGGAAACGAAAUUAGAGGAUGAAAAAAAUAUGAAAUUAAAUAUUAUUGAGUCUAGUUUCACAUAGAAGAAACAGUGUAAGCAAUGUAAUUGUAAAUUAUGAGAUAUAAUAGGUUAUGUGAGAUAAUGUCAGAAUGAUUUCGGGUUCCCCUGUUCUGACUUUUUAAAAUCAUAAAAAAUUGGAGAAAAAUAAUUAGAGGCUUAAAUUUAUAUAUUUAAAUCCUUAAUGAGUCUAUUUUCAAUUAAAACAAACGGUAACAUCAUUUGAAUUCUGUAUGAGGAGAUAAUUAAGUUUUAGUGAAGAAGGGUCAGAACUGUCAGACAGCAGAACAGGGAUGAAUUUAAAGAAUAAACUGUACUUAUUGGCUAAGCCAAAAAUUCUGAAAAUUUUAUGGUAAGAAUAUAUGUGAGUCUAUUGUCAUAUAAAAUUAACAGAUAUCAAUUUUGAGUUCUGUAGCUCAAGAUAUAAAUAAUUUGGUGACUAUGACUCAAGUGGACAGCUUUGAAUGGAUAUAAAUAAAUGUGAAAUUAUAGAUAAUGUUACAUAUAAGCAUGUUAUAUAUAUUAAGGAUGUGGAAUGGAGAGGAGGAGGAGGAAAAUAUAUGAUUAUUCAACUAGCAUGAGUUUUUAUUAAUAAUGACCAAUUUAUAUGUUUCAGGGACUAAAUUGAACAAAUGUGAAAAUUUAAGGGUAAAUUUGUAAAAAUGUCAAAAAGUGAUCAAAUUGUAUGAAAUGAAUUAUUUUAUUAUUUAAAUUAGUAAAUUUAAGGAAAUAUUAAUUUAGAUCAAGAUUGGAUAGAAAUUCGAGAAAAAUAAAAAAAUUUAAAAAUGUCCCUGAAUUUUGAUAUUUCUGCAAUUUAGCCUGGUAAGUUCGUAUGAACUAUAUUCUGUAUAAUUUUAAUUAAAGUGAAUGUUAUUUGAUGAUGAAUAUUAUAUAGAUAUGUGUUUUAUUAUUGAAAUUGAAUUAUUAUUGGUAAUAUGUACAAUUAUUAGAUGCAGUGAAAUGAUUAUCGGAAGCUUGUUGGAGAUAUAUCACAUUAUCUGUUGGUUCUAUUUGUAAUUUUGGAUGAAUUGAUUCUGGUUAUAAUGGCGUGUAUAAGUUAAAUUGGUUAACGUUAGCUCAUUAAUGUUUUGAUUUUGAUUGGUUAUAAAUAUGAAUGUUAGAUAAAAAUGAAAUGUCUGAAAGUUAAUUAGUAAACUCCGGUAAUGCCUCGUACCCUAUUUCGGUGUCGAAUACGGUAAGGGGUGUUACACUCUGUCUGGGAGAAGCUCGAAAGUCGUCGACAGCACCUCCCACGUAUAUAAAUCAGGCAGGACGGGGAACUCAUUCUCCCAGACACACAAUGUGCGCUCCAGCGUGUACACAUCAUCGACAUAUUGUUCAGCAUCAAGGUUGACUUUAGCACAAGCUGCCACGACAUGCGCGCAGGGAUAAUGAUAUGUUUCAAACCUCCUGCACUAGUACUGUCUGUUCCGGAGAUCAACUCCGUAGGACCUAGUUGGUAUACCAGGUUGACGACUGAUGGUCUCAGUAACUUGAAACGUUUUCAGUCGUCGUGUCGUGAAUAUAUUUCCACGUUCAUUGACCUCGCCAACUGACGGUUUGCGACCAUUGCAUCCCUGACAUGUUCGACAAACACGUGUCCCGCCUGAAUCUGGUCGACUUGCUGCUGACCCAUUAUUGGCAUCAAAGUAGCCAGCCUGUAGAAAGUAGCAGAAAAUACCGAUGCAAUCGGAAGAUGACGUGUUUUCAACAAGACAGCGUUGAUCCCCUCGACUAAGUUUAUGGUCAUAUGGCCAUAACGAAAGCUCUCGUCAAAACUUUGAGCCCACUGCUACGGCUCCAUUGUGCCCAAUCAUUAUCAGAAAGAUGUGUUUGUCUGUCCCUCCAUGUCACUCUCAAGUCGGAUCAUUCUUUGCCGGAAAAUAUGUGGCUCUAACUCGUACGCUGUAUACGUAUUAAGGAAAAAUAAGUUCUAGUAAGUCGAUAACAUCAAACAUUACAACUUAUAUUGAAAAUAUAAGGUUAUGAUUUACCCAUUGCCACGACUUGUCUCUUCCACUUUGCAUUCUUAUAAUCUUUGUGGAAGUUAGCCGCAAUGUGACGGAUACAGUAAACGGAUCUUCACGGCACACCGGAACGCCUAAUAGCUACAAUUAAACCCUACCCUCUAUCGGAGAUGAUGCAAAUGUUAUCGUUUCUAAUAACAUACUUCCGCAGAUUUGUGAAGAAGAAUUCCCAAGACUCCAUGUUCUCUUUAUCUACAAUAGCAAAUACUAUUGGGAGCACGUUUCUGUUACCGUCUUGAGUAACUACAAGAAGUAGGAUCUAUGUAUAUUUUUCAUACAGUCAGGUCUCAUCCACCUGUACAAAUGGCUUGCAGUGGGGAAAUGCCCGCACACAUGGAUCGAAUGUCCAGAACAUCCGAUGGAAAAUCCUUUUUGCCGGCUGUAACUGGUCAUCCGGGCCGUAAUAUGGCAUUGUCUGCAACUCAAUCACAAUCCUCGGUAUGUACUCCCGCAUAGCAGCUAUCCAACCUUGAAGAUCGUUAUACGAUGAAUCGUAAUCCCCAUACAGUUGCUCCAUCGCCAUCUGUUUAGCUAUCCAUGCCUUCCGAUAUGAGACUCGAUACUAGAAUCGUGCUUGCAUUUCGGCAAUCAGUACCGAAACUUUAAUAGUCGGCAUGUCCUUCACCAUUGGCAUGAUACACGUAUAGAUAGUUUUUGAAUCAAGUUUUCCAUGAUCUUCUGUCAUACGUGUUAAUGUGCAUGUAUGAGGACCAACAAAUUUUCGUAUCUCCCACAUCUGAGAACUUCUAAUGAAUGCAGCUCGUACCCGCCAAUUGCAGCCUUCUGCUGCCUUCCAACACUCUCCAACAUAUAUUGUCAGAGUAGACACGGAGACUUUAUAAUCCACCGAUAUCUUCAUGCUGUACCGUUUAAUGGCAUAUAUGCACUCUUCUUUACACUCGAAUCUCUGGCCUAUGAAUAACUCCUCAUCAUCAGAUGUUACGGCCAGCCCGUGAGAAUGAACUAUUUCAGGGUACUCCGAAAACUCAGCUACAUACGCUGCGUCGGGGUCUAUGAGCGACAUGUGUGGCCCAGGAUUAUUGUGUAUCAAAAUACGCCGUAUCUGCUCCCCGGUCGAAGAAGCGUUAAUGCCUUCAUCGUUGUUGACAUUUUCAUCGUCAAUAUCAUCAGGUACAUCGUCCACAUCGGGAUCAUUGUCACUAUCGACCUAUUCAUCCCAAUGAUCGCCACCACAUUCUUCUUCGCUAGCACCUUAUUCUUCACCACCAACCAUAUCAACAUCGGGUGUAAUAUUCAGGUCGAUACCGAUUCCACCCAUAGUCGAUUCACUAUCAACGUAUGAUAUUGGAGCCACCAUCCAUGGUUCUUCAGCUCCGUCUUCUUCAUCAAAUAAGUGAUUCAGUGCAUUCUUCUCACUCUCAUUCCCACAGUAGAGAUCGACCAUUGUCUCCACGUCUUCGUCGUCUACAAGUUCCAUUUCGACGAAUUUGACCAGAUUUGUCGAAACUGGAAACUUGUAGAAAAUUUUUGAUAUCUUUCUCCCACAACGUCUAAGAAUUUUUGCAUUAAUCCCUGCCUUCAUUUCAUUGAACGAUACAUUUCUAUUAAAUCUCAUUGUUAUUUGUUACCGACAUUCAAAUACACAUCCAACACUUGUUGUCAAGAUGACUCCAUCGAAAUAAACGCAUACAAGAAACUUAGCAUCCAUCUUCAAUAUUUAAUCUGUCAAAAAAUAAACAAAAUCUCAUAAAAAUUCUCGAACGGUAAAUAAAUUAUUUAAAAAAAAAUUAAUGUUUCAAUAUGCAAUUUUGUACAUAAAAACCGUUUAACCACUAAUCCUAAUAACUAACACAAUAAUAAUAUUAAUAAUUUUAUACUCAAAAUAAUACACACUAAAAUUAUUAAUUAGGGUUUUACUAAAAAUAAUAACUAACUAACUAUAAUAAUAAUACUAGUUUUUUACUAACUAGUUUAUUUUGGUAAAUAAAAAUUAUAACUAACCAUAAUAAUAAUACUAGUUUUUUACUAACAAUAAUAGUACUAAGUUACAUCUUAAUACAUUAAUAACAUCUUAAUACUAACAACAACAACAACAACAAUAACAACAACAACAACAACUAUAAUAAUAAUAAUACUAACUAAAACUAUCAAUUUGAGUUUUAUUAAUCUUAAUAACUAAACUAAAACAAAAAAUAUUACAAAAUAUACAAACAAUAACAACAAUAUAAUCAAUUAUUUUUUAAAAAAUACCUUCUUUUUCUCUUCUCUUUCUCUCUUUUUCUCUUCUUUUUCGUAGCACCUCUUCUUCCUCUUCUUCUUCUUUUUCUUCUGAUUUUUCUCCUUUCAGCUGGACAGAGCUCGUGUUUAUAACACGAGUAGUGCCGCCAAUCAGUAUGGCACCAUUGGUGCCGCCAAUGGCUUUGGCACAUUUGUUGCCGCCAAUCACCUUGGCCUGACCAGGGUGUUGUCAAUUCGGUGCAGGCUUUUUGCAGUUUUUUUUUUCCUGUUUUUUGUUUUUUUUGGUAUAUUUUGGUAAAUAAAAAAAUUUAUAAUAUUUUGGUAAAUAAAAAACUUAUAAUAUUUUGGUUUUUUUUAUUUUUUAUAAUAAUUUUGUAAAAAACUCAUAGUGGCAAAAAAGAAUUAGGGAUAGUAAAUCAUGUCAAAUUUCAAAAUUUUUUGAAUUUCAAGGGCAUAACUGCAAAACUGCCCAUUAAACUUUGUAUAAUAUACAUAUUAUAAAAUAAAAGGAUGAGAAUUUUUUUCCUUUAAAAAAACCAAGGAAAAAAAAGUGUAGUACUAACAUUUUUUUUCCCUUAAAAAGAAAAAAAAAAGAAAAAAUAGCUUUCACAAUUAUUAUUUUUAUUGUUUGAUAUUUUCUCUGUGCAAAACCAGAGAAAUUGAUGAGAAGAAGAAGAAAAAGAAAAAGAUGGCAUGCAAGUGUGGAGGCUACUACUACACUUUGAACGCAAAGGCGAGCUUCGAUCGCGACUUAGCGAAAACGCGAAAGUUUCUUCUCCGAAACGUUUCAGUGAUCCGCAUGUUCACGAGCGGAUUCUUCCGCGGUAAAUGGCGAUCCAUUGCUGGUAAACGUCGCAUCUUGAGGUCGGUGACUGAUAUUUUUCGUUUUAUUUUAUGAUUUCUAACUUUUUCCUGUUUGAUUACCGAGAAAAUUGUACAAAAUGAAAAUUUCGAUAUCCGUGCUCUUUUUUCUUUUUUUUCUUCUUUUUGCUUGAAUGUAAUUAGUCUUAAUAACCGAAGAGCUGAUUGGAAGCGUUUAUUUUAGGAGAAAAUUUGGGUUUGUCGUAUCUUAGAGCUGUACAUUGCAGUUAAUGUUUCGUUGGCGAUAAAAAUAAGAGAGCAAGGAAAAUUGUUGAAUUGAUAAAAAGCGGAAUCUGUUUUUGUUAGAGCUGAAAAAUUAAAUUAAGUGACGAUUUUUUAGUUUAUCUAAUUCAGAAGAGAGAAAUCGUAACCAUUCAGCUCUGACAAGAAAAAGAAAGAAGAAAACACUUGUAAAUUGUAAAGCUAUAUUAUCAAUUUUCGAAUUUAGAUAUGAAGCCAAUUGACGAUUAGGAGGAUUUGUUCCGUUUUGAUCAGAUUUUAAGGCAAUGUAACGGGAAAAAAGAUGAAAAUGAUUUCGUGGAGUCACUUCGAGUAGUUAGUAAACUGUUUUCUUUAAAAACAAAGCUCAUGUUUCUGGUUUUUACUGAAAUGGAAUUAUCUUAGUAUGGUGAAGUAAGCAUGUGGUUUUGUUGUGGCUCAAAGUGUUUCUAAGUUCUAUGAUACUUCUUCUUCUUAUUCCUUUUAAUUUCAUUGGAAGAGAUUGAUUCUGUUCAAACAAGUUACUGCUUAGGUUGCUUGGAUUGCAGUGAUGGGAUAUUACUUGGCAAACUUAACAAAAUUUAAAAUUUUAUGGUUUUCUUUUUAGCUGAAUUAUAUACCUUGCUCUGAUGUAGAAGUACUGAUUUCUUGCAGCAUGGAUGCUCGAGAGAAAUCGAGAUCCACGAUACUGGAAUCAUCGAAAGAUAAGAGGGUGCCUAUUUUUGUAAUGAUGCCUGUGGAUAUAUUCACUCUUGAUGCCUCUGGGUGUCCAAGAAUUAGAAAGUAAGGUUUAGGCAUUUCAUCUGCUCGAUUAUCAAUAUAUUGUAUGGUUCAGCUUUUCUAAAAGGGAGGUAGACUCAAUGUCUGCCUCAUACUUUCCGCUAUAAGGAGAAUAUAACCACCUUGUCCUAAUUAACAUUCUCAUUUAUAGGAUUUUUGUUUUUGAUAUCUUAAAUUUUGGAUAUUAUGCCUUGUUUUGCUUUCCAAAAUAAAACGGUUUUUGAUUUGGUCUUUGUUGUUUCAGGCUCAAGGCCUUAACUGUAUCUCUAAAAGCACUCAAGUUGGCAGGUGUUCAUGGAAUUGGAGUUGAAGUCUGGUGGGGAAUAGUGGAGCGUUUCUCACCUUUUGACUACGAUUGGUCUCUGUAUGAAGAGCUGUUUAAAUUGAUUUCUGAUUCAGGGCUGAAGUUGCAUGUUGCUUUGUCUUUUCACUCAAAUAUUCACUCAACUCAUGGAAAAGGGGGUGUGAGUCUACCACUGUGGAUUUUGGAGGUUUGCCAUUUACUUGUUAUCUUCUAAUGGAAUUGUCACAGAGUAAGAAUUGCACUGUCAAUUUACUAAGGUUUUAUUUCGGUGCAACACAUUAGACUGGUAGGGUUCUUGCCAUCCUAUCUGUUGAGUGAUUUAAUAAAUUCAGAUGGCAAAACUUACAUUUUUUACUCAACCAUCAGUUCCAUUUGCUAGGUGAUCUACUUUUGUUAUCCUGUAAGUGAGACUGCAUUCUAUCUUCCAAUAUGUCUUAAGCUACUUCAUUGAAAAGCUUAUGAGAUAGGAAAUUCACUAAGAGCACGUUAUUUAUAAAUUAUAUUAUCAUACUGCUAGCUAAUAUAUUUUUUUCCCUUUUGCUGUCAGAUUGGUGAUGUAAAUAAAGAUAUAUACUAUAGAGAUCAACAGGGGUUCUCCAACAAUGAUUAUCUCACACUAGGGGUGGAUCAUGUUCCUCUGUUAUCUGGGCGGACUGCCCUCCAGUGUUAUGAAGAUUUCAUGCUUAGUUUUGUUAACAAAUUUGAAUCCUUUAUUGGAACUGUAAUUGAAGAAAUAAGCAUCGGUCUUGGUCCUUCUGGAGAACUUAGGUACUUUAUGGUUCUUAUGUUAUUCUUUUCCUUUUUUUUUUUGUUCAGUCUAUGAAGUUAUUGUUGAAACAUGAUUAUGAAGUCAUUGCAUGAUUGUCUUAGUGCAGGUAUCCUGCUCAUCCUUUUGGUGAUGGUAGAUGGAAAUUCCCUGGCAUCGGUGAAUUCCAGUGUUAUGAUAAGUACAUGUAGGCAUAAACUGUUUCCAUCCUAAUACAAGCUCAGGUGUUUCAUUAUUCUCAAGAUAGUUUUGCUUGCAGGAUGGAGGACUUAAAGAUGGCUGCAUGCCGAGAAGGAAAACCUCAAUGGGGGGACAAAGGGCCACAGAAUGCUGGCUGUUACAACAGUCUUCCAUCUGGGGUGCCCUUCUUUGAAGAGGGAAAGGAGAGCUUUCUAUCUGAUUAUGGCCGUUUCUUCCUGGUACUAUGCUUUAUCUGUAAUAUAUUCGUACCAGAUUUAUGUCUGUACAUUGUGCAGAUUAAUAUUCUACAACAUUCAGGCACCAAUAUAAUAUGUACUGCUACCAUGCAUUAACUUAUAGUAUUCAAACCGUCCAUUUGAAUUUAAUCCAUUGACCAGAUAUCUGCAAUAUAGAAGAGUGGUGCUGAAUUUACUGACUGUCAUAUUGAGAGGUUAUUUAUGAUCAUUGCAACAUUUUUAUUUUCUAAGUUACUCGUCUACUAAAAUGGUAAUAUAUGGGGUAGAGCUCCUUUUGGCUGGGGCUCAUAGUGAUAUACAAAUAGGUAUGUAUUUAUUGGGGAAAGUGCGUGAUAACAUCAUGUUUUCAGAAAUCCAAUAUGCAAUCUCCAGCCUCAGAUUAAACAUGAUUAUGGAAACAAACUUAGCAUUUAAAAACCAUACUUGGGAAUGAUCUUUUGCAGGAAUGGUACAGUGGUAGGCUGAUUUGUCAUGCAGAUGCCAUUCUUGCAAAGGCAGCAAAGAUAUUGAAAAAAUACCAAGAAAAUGAGCAAACUUCUGUUAUGUUGGUGGCUAAAAUUGGUGGAAUUUAUUGGUGGUACCAGACUCUAUCACACCCUGCUGAACUUACUGCUGGUUACUACAACACUGCUCUGAGAGAUGGUUAUGAUCCAGUUGUCUCAGUGUUGUCUCGACAUGGAGCUGCUUUGCAUAUUCCGUGAGAAUUUUAUCUUUAUCUAGUUCUUUUUUUAUUUUUUUCAUUUUCUUCUUUACCCAGAUGGAUUUCUGUUUGUUUGGGUUUCCUCUUCAAAAACUUUCUGCACAAUGCAUUAUUCAUUUAAUGACUGAAAAUAGUUUUGGUGCAAUAUUUGGGGUGAACUUAUACUUGCUCACAGAUUACAGUGGAAUGAUUGACAUACAAGGCUGUGAAUCUCAUAUCCACCUUUGAGUCUCCGUAAUGAAACUAAUUUUUGUAGAAACUUUGGAACCAAUAUGUUUCUAUCAUUUUGCAGAUGUACCAAAUCUUGAGGUUAAAGCUUACAAGAUGCAAUCUAGAUGUUAGGGAAUAGCAAGCAUCAACAAUUGAAGUUUUUUUUUUUUUUCUGUUCUUUGCUUCUUCAUUGUGCCCCUCCUCCUCGUCCUCCUCUCUGUUAUCUAAGUUUGAUCAUGUAUAUUGGUUGUAGAUAUUUAUCCAUUUCCAUCCUGCAUUUUCAUUUCUUCAACUUACCUUGCAGCUGCUUAGAGAUGAUGGACAGUGAAACCCCACCAACCUAUCUUUGCAGUCCUGAAGGAUUACUGAAACAGGCAUGAGUUCUUUUUUAUUGACAAUUUUCUUUUCUUCUUUGACCAAGAAAUAUGUGAUUUUAGUCAUUGCCAUUUUAGCUGCUUAAAUCUACAAAUGGUACUGUUCCAUGACUUGAAUUUAUCUUGUAAUUGAUUAAAGAAGUUUAUGUAGUAACAUGUUUUGACAUUCCCUUCAUGCCUAUUGCAGUGGGUAUUAUAAUUUGGUGUAGACCUGUCAAUAUUCCUGAUGUGUUUAUGUAUUUUGUUAUGUCAUAUUCAUUUUUAAGCUGUUUUAUAUUUAUAUAAAUUUUGACAUAUAGAUUUUAACACAUUCUUAGUAAAGUUCAUGUUAUUUUUCAUGUAGAGUGUUUUUUUGUCAAACUUAAUUAUUUCCAGUGGCAUGUUGGAUAUUGACAAGACUUAUUUGAUGCUAUUUUUUAGUUACUGUUUCGCUGAAAUAUGUUUACAAGUGUAGCCUCUCACCUUAUGCCCCUUGAAAAAGAAAAGAGAAAAGAUUAUCUUGUUCCAUCUCCAUGAUUUUGUGACGAGUGAACCUGAAUCUGUGUAAAUUUUAGGGCUUAAUGGGCUAAUACUUAAGGCCUAAUCCCUUUCCAGACAUCAAGAAACAGUUCUGUUUUCACCUUCUAUGACAUAUAUAGAGAAAACAUCUGGUUGCAUGUUAUAAGGAAGUUUAAAUGAAGUUGGUAAAACUGUAUUACUAUUAUAUAUGAUUUAACAGCUAAAGAGUGUCAAUACCAGAUGCAACUUGUCUCAUUAGUCAUUCCUAUGCUUCUCUUGUGCCAAAACCUAAUUUCUUUGACCUUCUGACUUUCAAUGCAGAUGCAGUCUGUUUCAAAGAAAAGGAUCGUUAACUUGAUUGGAAGAAAUACAACCGAACGACUUGACAAAGUAAAUAUCAUUCUAUCUUAACACAAUAUUGUCUACCCUUCAGCUUAAUAAUAAGAUUUAAUUGUUUUUUUGGCAAUGAUUAAUAUGGUACUCGUGAUGGCUUUUAACUCUCAGGUUCACAAUUAGUUUAGUACUUGUCCUUUCCCGGUUCCUUUGAACUUUCUGUUGCCGGUAUUUUCUUUACUAGAAUGACUCAUAUUUUCUCUUUCGUUCUCUUUCAAACUCUCGCAGACUGGACUAUGGAAAAUUCGUUCAAACUGUUACAAUCCCCAAGCAGAAGUUGUAAGAUCAUUUACUUAUUUCAGAAUGAAUGAUAGUAUAUUUAGGGUUGAAAAUUGGAAUAACUUUGUACCUUUUGUCAGAAUGAUGAGCACCGAUUUGUAAUAUACAGUUUCAACUGUCUACCACUUUACUAAGCUCAUUAAGAUAACCCUGCCCCUAUAUUUUUUUUACCUGACUGGGGGAUGGGGAAAUUGCAGAAGCUUUUCUGGUCUUGUCUUAUAUCUGGUUAUACAUCCUUUCCUCAUUCAUUUCCAGCAUUGAUAUUUUUAGAUGUUGGAAAAUAAAUCCAAAAAGUAUCAAAAGGUUCACCAAAAUUUAAGGAAGAUGUUGGUUUUGCCACAGUGCUUGAUGCUAGUAUAACUUUGUGGAGCUUCUUCUCCAGAAGGUGUGAAAAAUGAUCAUUGAGAAUCAUAUCCUUCUGAUUUUCAAUCCCAGUUCUUCCACUCAGCAUCUAAUAGCUUUCAUGUUUUAUGACCUGGUUGAAAGUUAAAUUAUUAACACAUGGAAACUCAUAGAUUCAUUUUUGAAGUGGUUGAUGGACAUGGUAUUCAGUACUUAGCUUAUUUUAGGGGAGAGAUUCUAUCAAAUAGCAAUGUUUCAUUAAGUUUUUUGCUUCUCUUCUACUCUUCAAUGUUCGUAGGCCACGUUGUACUAAAGGCACUUUGUUUAUUUUGCUAUUAGUCUUUCUAUAUUGUGGUUAAUAUGAAAAUACCAAAAUGUUGUAUUUCUGUAGCGUGUUCCAAUUCUUCAUUUUUCUUGAAAUACUUGUAUCAAACACAUAUGAACCAGGCCUUUGGCAAAUAAAUUGGAGGCAACUGUGACUUGCAUGUACUUCUCAUCAUCGUGAUUUGUUGUGAUGUAGCAUAUAGUUGUUAGAGAUUGUUAUCAAUGUUGGAACCCUAUGUGUCAACAAUAUGCAACCGUGCAGUGAUCAAUCCACACAUCCCUUGAGCCAAAUAUUGAGAUCCUAUCCCUAUCAGGACAACAGCUUAUUGCAUAUUGGGGGAUGACUGAUCCCACACUAUGUCAGAUCCUGAAGGUAAGCAAUAAUGGAUAUAGAUGUUAUGUAUGAUUAAAUAUUCACAUUAUCUAAGGUUGUGCAUGAUCUGCCUGUUAUUUGGAUAAUGUAUCCUCUCCUGUCGAUGUCUAUGUUGGUUCGGAGUUGUCUUACUUACUCUUCCUUUGGUAGGAAAGAAAGAAACGGGUGAGAAAACAAUUUAAUCUAAUGGUUGAACUACAUUAAUGUGCUAUUUUGUAGCUCAACUAUUAGAUUAAAACAUUUUCGUUCUUUAUCUGACUUUUCUUCAUCCUACCAAUUGAAGCUUUAGGCUUACAACUUUAUGAUGAUCAAAGAUGAUCCUUAGAUGUUUGUUGAGAAGAAGAAGAGGUUGGAAGCUUGAGUGACAGUUCAAACGGUGGUAUGCAGACAUCCGUAAGAGAGAGGUUUACAAGUGUCAAGACCCCAGGUUAAGAAAGGGGGAGAAGAAUAAUGCUUCUCCUUCUACCUUUCUAAUUAACCAGAGACACUCAUAAACCUCCCUCUUACGGCUCUUUGCACACUACUGUGUGAACUGCCUAAACCUUCAACCUCUUCUCGACAAUUUUCUUUAGUGGCUGCAUGACAUAGUGUUCCUAGAGUUGGACGUAACUGGAUCAUCAUUAUAGUAUCUACAUAAACUUCACCGUCUGGACCCCCGUAGGUAUUUUUUCCCCGAGCCCAAUUGUAUAAUCAGCCAGCCUUUUCCGAUCGUCAUUCCAUUCAGGGUCACGCCUAUAGUGUAACCAGAUCUUUAUAUGCCAUAGCAUAGCAUAGAAACCUGGGAAUUGAAUGGUUCUGUGAGAGUAAUUUUUGGCGUGAAAUUUCCAUUUUGUGUAAAGCUUUUACUGAUCCCAGUUUUAUUUUAAUUGGUUCGUGUCAGUCAGUCGGGGGAUUCUUUUUUUAUUUCAUUAUCCAGGCUUGGGUUGAACUGGUCUAGGCAAAGCCUGUUUCACUAUUCAAACGAAUAUUAAAAAUUAUUAUUUUUAUCUAUUUUAUUAAUACAAAUUUAAACUGAAUAUAUUCAGUUUUACUUUAUUAAUUGUUUAAUAAUAAACCCUUGAUUCUAAAAACCGAGAUUGUCAUAAGGCGUUUAUGGAUAUUUCUUAAUCUCUCGGAACUAGCAGAAUAAAUAAAUGAGAUGUUUCUAUUAUCAUUUUCAAGCGAUUGAAAAAUAAAGAAAAGAAAACAGAAUAUUCAAAAUGAUUGCAUCACAUUAUGGGUAAACUGUAAAAGGAGUUAUUUUUGUUUGUCUCAAAUUACGUUUUAGUUAUUUAUGUUUGAAAUAUUACGUUCCAGUUAUUUACGUUAUCGUUUUGUUACGAAGUGGACAUUUUAACGUUAAGCUUCGUUACUUCCCUAACAGUGGACUUGCGUGGUGGUUUAAAUGAGUUUUAAAUGCUAACUUGGAUGUGUUAUGUGGUAGUUUAAAUUAAAAUUUAUUUAAUUAAAAACUUGUUUUCAUUCCAACAACUAGAAAUUUAAGUUGGCAUUUAAAACUUAUUUGGAUUGUCAUGUAGAAUUAUUAUGAGGGAGGUAAUGGAAUUUAAUGGUAGAGUGACAUUUCGUAACAAAACGAUAACGCAAGUGACUAAAAUGUAACAUUUCAAACAUAAAUGAUAAAAAUAUAAUUUGAGGCAAACAAAAAUGACUAUUUUUAUAGUUUACCCUAACAUUAUUUCAUCUAAUUUUAUCGUAUGUCACUAUGAAAAUGAACUUCUUUCUUGCAAAAAGAGAAGUUUUUUUAUUUCAUCUGUUCCAUUACUUGAAUUUGACACACCUUACAUCACUAUUUUACUAAUUUUUCAAGGGCUAAAAAUCUCAUUUACUUAAUUUAAAAUUUUUGGAUACCUAUUAAGCAUAUAUAACAGUAUUUGGUCUCGCUUAUAGGAUUUAAAAACUACUAAUAGUGUAUCAGGACACAAUUUACCCUUUCUUUUUCCAACAUGAUUCCUUGAAAAAAAAGCAAACAGUACAAUCGAGCAGGCCUGGAAGGAACCCGGAUAAAAAAACAUAAGAAAGGGGUUCAAAAAAGUCGGCGCCAAGAUCGAAGAGGUGAGCGAAAGAGUGACCAAAGUGUUCGAGGGCCAAAGCAUAUGCACCAUCAACAGCACGCGUGCUUCCAUCAAAGAGGCCAUGUUGAUAGCAAUGCUCAAACCAUGGAAGCCGGCUAGAACCACUAAAAGAUUCAGAGUGUUCUAGCUCUAUGUAGUAGGAGAGACAUAAGGGACUCGACAAAUAUUUAUAUGGAAGCCGGCAUAGAGUCUCACGUGUAUAAUUACAUCAAAUUAAUAUUUAUGUAUACAAUUGUACAUUAAAUUAAAAUUUAUGUAUAAUUUGGAACUUAUCCCUACUUUAAUUUUUUAAUUUAAGCCAAACUCAUCCUUGAAGUUCAAAAUUUUAAAUUCUUGAUUAGCAUUGACAUUGAAGUCUUAAAGACUAAGAGAAACAUGGUUGUUUUUUGUUUUAUUGGUAUAAAUGAAGUCUAGUACUCCAAAUCCAGAUUUAUUUAAAACAAUUUAUUGAAUAUCACAUUUUAAGGGUGACAGUUUUAACUAAUUAAAUCAAAUUUUAAAUUCAAAUUCAACUUUGAAAAAACUAAAAACUUAAGCAAAACAAAACAAAACCAAACCAAACCAAAGUUAAAUUAAUCUUAAUUCUUAAGUAUGUUUUUUCAACUUUGUAUUUUAUUAAAUUUAAUGUUUUUUCAACUUUGUAUUUUAUUAAAUUUAAAUGUGACUGAAUUAUAAAUUUUAACAUAUAAAUUUUAACUUAAGGAUGUGGGUUUAAGCAUAUUGAAGCGCGUUUAUUCCCCAAUUUAAGGGUUGUGAUAGGCUAUAGGUAAUUUUUACUUUCACAAUUAAAUUAGAUUUUUUAAAAAAAAUCUAUAACUCUUUCUUAUAAUUAUUUUUUUGUAAACUAAAAAUAUGAAAAAAGACCAAGCAAAAGUUAAAUAAGUCAUGAUCAUCUCUAUCCAACUUUGUACAUUAAUUAAUUAAAAUGUAGAUGAAAUUAAAGAUUUGUCAACAUGCAGCUGCAACUGUAACUCAUAAUCAUCUUUAUUCAAUCUUAUACUUUAACGAGUUAAAAUGUAAAUGAAACUAUACAUUUUUCAAUGCAUUAUUUGAAUUUUAUUACAUAAAAGUAUUAGGUAACCUUCAGCGUAUUGAGGUUUGAAUUAGAGGCGAAUCGGGGAGAUGGCAGUCCCUUAAAAUGGAAAAAGAAUUCAUUUAAACUCUUUUAUAAUUUAUAAAAUUUUAAAUUAGUAUUAAUAAAAUUACACUUUGGUCCUCCUAAAAGUAAUAAAAAUUUAAUUUAAAUUUUUAAAAAUUAUAAAGAUAUAAACUAUUAAAAUAAUAAAAUUAUAUUUUUACUAUAAUAAAAAUAUACAAUUUAAUUCUGAACCCAAAAUUUUUUUACUUUGCCCCUAUAUAAAUCCUUUUUUAACGAAAAAAAAUAUAAAUUAGAAAAUUGACAAAAUCAAAUCAAGGUUAAAUCAUAAUUCAUAAUUGUCUCUUUCCUACCUUAUAACAUAAUGAGUUAAAAAUAUAAACGAAGUUAUAAAUUUUCAAAGACAUAUUCUUUAAUUUAUGGUUAAUAUUACUUAGUGUAAAUUUGGAUAGGCGGUGCGAUGCAUUUAAUUUACUUUUUAUCUCACGUUACAGUAUCACAACAAUAUCUAAUCUCACCUCCACCGCUGAUUUUACAGUAAAUGUAUCGUCCAUCCAAACUCACCUUUAAACUAGUUAGGAGGCAUAAAAAAUAUUUGAAAACACAAUCGAAAUAUAAAAGAAACUAGGAGGCAUGAAAAGAUAUAUUUCAUUUUAAAUAAAUUAAAAAAAAAUUCAAACUCCUAAAAACUUAUGCAUUUUGUUAUCAUUUUCGAUUGGAUGAUCCAUUAAUUCAGGUGGCGGAAGAUUAUAAAUGGGUAAUUUUUUAUUGGAGAUUGGGAAUAGAUGGACUUUCUGUAGGACCAUUUACUGGCAGGAUUUAUCACCAUUUUAGCGACUUUGGUGGCUUGGUCAAUUACUCAAGAUUAGCAAUUAUUCAUUUCCUGAUGCCAGCAAUGUAUAGUGGUCAAAUAGGGUCAUUUUCUUCUCGAGAUCUUUUACUUUUUUUUUUCAUCAUGUGGGAAUUCGAAUUAAUUCUCGUUUAUCUACUUCUAUCCAUGGGGGGGAGAAACGUUUGUACUCGACUACAAAAUUUAUUUUAUACAUUACAGGUGGUUUCAUUUUUCUAUUAAUAGGAGUAUUGGGUCUCAGUUUAUACGGUUCUAAUGAGCCAACAUUAAAUUUUGAAACACUAACCAAUCAAUCAUAUCCUAUCGCACUGGAAAUAAUAUUCUAUAUUAGAUUUCUUAUUGCUUUUGCUAUCAAAUCACCGAUUAUACCCUUACAUAUGUGGUUACUGCAUACCCAUGGAGAGGCCCAUUACAAUACUUGUAUGCUUCUAGUUGGAAUUUUCUUAAAAAUGGGAGCAUAUGGAUUAAUUCGAUAAAUAUGGAAUUAUGAUCUCAUGUGCAUUCCAUAUUUUUUCCCUGGUUGAUAAUAGUUGGUACAAUGUAAAUAAUUUGAAGCGUAGAAAACCAAACAAAAGUUAAAUCUUAACUCUUAAGCAUCUCUUUCUAAUCUUAAAAAUGUGUAGUUCGAGUUUUAGCAUGCGUAAGUUUUUCUUAUCUUAAAUUUAUGACUUCUUUAUUGAGAUUUAUUUUAGUAAACUAAAAAUUUAGACGUAACAAAGUAGAGGUAAAUAUUAACUCUUAAACGAUUCUUUCUAAUCUUACACCAUGAUGAGUUAAAAUAUAAAUGAAAUUAUAGAUUUUUAAGGCAUGUUCUUUAGAUUUUACCGUUAAUGUUUCCUUAUACGAGAGUGGUCAAUUGGAUUCUCUUGUAUUACUUUAUUUUGUCUGAACUUAGAAACAGGUUAGCCGGCUAAUUGGUCUUGGAAUUUAGAUAUUAAAAUUUAAGUUUGAUCUAUAUUUUGAACGAAUCUAAUUUAUUAAUCAAAUUCUCUAAAUAUCGAAUGAACCUUUAGAUUUAAGCAAAUAUUUAGAAUUUAAGUAGGAUCGACCUUCAUAAGAGUGCAAUCUCAACCUUAAAACAUAAUUAUAAUUGUAUCAAUUAAGAGUUUAACUUUUUAAUUUGAGCCAAAUCCACCCUUGAUAUUGAAGUCUUAAAGACUAAGAGAAACAUUAUUGUUUUUUGUUUUAUUGGUAUAAAUGAAGUCUGGUGAUCCAAAUCCAAAUUUAUUUAAUACAAUUUAUUGAAUACCACAUUUUAAGGGUGACAGUUUCAUUAACUUUUAAAUUCAAAUUCAACUUUGAAUAAACUAAAAACUUAGCCAAACUUAAAUUAAUCUUAAUUCUUAAGUAUCUUUUUUUCAACUUUGUAUUUUAUUAAAUUUAAAUGUGAAUGAAAUUAUAGAUUUUAACAUAUAAAUUUUACAAUUAGUAUCGCCUAACUUGAGAACAAUCUAGUUGGUUGAGUCUUAAUUCAAUUGGCAUUAGCACUGUUGUCAGUGCAGGAAGACGUGGGUUCAAGCGUGUUUAUCCUCCAAUUUAAGGGUUGGAAUGGGUUUUGGGCAGUUCUAAACAUUGUAACAACUUAGAAACUUUCAGAUACUUUCAACCUUCAACAUAAUUAUAAUUGUAUCAAUUAGGGAUAAAUCUCAAAACUAUAUAUACAUGAACUAUGGUUUAAUGUGCAAUUAUAUACAAGAAUUUUGAUUUGAUCCAAUUAAUUAUAUUUAUCUAAUAUAAAAAUAAAUUGAUGUAUUUAUCUCUUUAAAUGUGUAUGAUUAAAUCAAAAUUAAAGUUUCAAAUAUACAUUUGAACCACAAUUAGAGUUUCACGCGUACAAUUACAUUUAAUUUGAGCCAAAUCCACCCUUGAAGUUCAAUUAAAUUCUUGAUUAAAGCAUUAAAGACUAAGAGGAACAUUAUUGUUUUUUGUUUUAUUGGUAUAAAUGAAGUGUAGUUUCCAAAUCCAAAUUUAUUUAAUACAGUUUAUUGAAUAUCACAUUUUAAGGGUGACAGUUUCAACUAAUUAAAUCAAAUUUCAAUUUCAAAUUCAACUUUGAAUAAACUAAAAACUUAGCAAAACCAAACCAAAUCAAACCAAACCAAAAUUAAAUUAAUCUUAAUUCUUAACCAUCUUUUUUCAACUUUUUAUUUUAUUAAAUUUAAAUGUGAAUGAAAUUAUAGAUUUUAACGUAUAAAUUUUACAAUUAAUAUAAUCUAACUUGAGAAUGAUGAAUUAAGUAUCAAUAUAUCUAGUCGAUUGAGUCUUAACUUGGUUGGCCAGUGCAGAAGGACAUAGGUUCUAGCAUGCUGAAGCGCAUUUACUCUCUAAUUUAAGGGUUGAGAUGGAUUAUAAGCAGUUUUUCAGAUACUUUCACAAUUGAAUUAGAUUUUUUUUUAAAAAAAGAUCAAUAUAUCUAUAAUUCAAUUUUAAUAUCUAUAACUCUUUCUUAUAAUUUUUUUUAUAAACUAAAAAUAUGAAAAAAACCAAGCAAAGGUUAAAUAACUCAUCAUCAUUUCUAUCCAACUUUGUACAUUAAUUAAUUAAAAUGUAGAUGAAAUUAUACAUUUUUCAAUACAUUAUUUGAAUUUUAUUACAUAAAAGUAUUACGUGCCCUUCAGCAUAUUGAGGUUUGAAUACGGAGGUGAUUCUAAAAAUAAUAAUAAUUUAAUUUAAUUCUUUAAAAAUUAUAAAAAUAUAAACUAUUAAAAUAAUAAAAUUACGUUUUUACUAUAAUAAAAAUAUAUAAUUUAAUUUUUGUCCCAAAAUUUUUUUCUUACUUUGCUCAAUCCUAAUAUUUACAACUUUUUUUUAUCAUAACAUUUUUUAACGAAAUAUAUAUACGAUUAGAAUAUGAUGUAUUUUACUUUGAAUAAAUUAGAAAUUUGAUAAAAUCAAAUGAAGGUUAAAUCAUAAUGAUUUAAUUAAUAAUUGUCUCUUUCCUACCUUAUAACAUAAUGAGUUAAAAAUAUAAAAGAAGUUCAAUGCAUAUUUUUUAAUUUACGGUGUGGUGCGUUUAGUCUUUUUUUUUACGUUAUAGUAUUUAAUCUCAUUGUUAUCACUAUUUUUAUACUAAUUGUAGGUAAACGCGUCGCUCAUCCAACCCCAUCCUUAAACUGGUUAGGAGGCAUAAAAAGAUAUAUGAAAAAAAAGGAGGCAUAAAAAGAUAUAUUUUAUUUUAAAUAAAUUAAAAAAUUCGAACUCCUAAAAGCCUAUGCAUUUUGUUAUAAUUUCCGAUUGGACGAUCCAUUAAUUUAGGUGGCGGAAGAUUAUAAAUAGAGAAUUUUUUAAUUGUUGAUUGGGGAUAGAUAGACUUUCUAUAGGGCCCAUUUUACUGACAAAAUUUAUCACAAUUUUAGCAACUUUGGUGGUUUGGCCAAUCACUCGAGAUUCACAGUUAUUUCAUUUCUUGAUGCCAACAAUGUACAGUGGUCAAAUAGGGUUAUUUUCUUCUCGAGAUCUUUUACUGUUUUUCGUCAUGUGGGAGUUCGGAUUAAUUCUCGUUUAUCUACUUCUAUCCAGGGGGAAGAAAUGUCUGUACUCGACUACAAAAUUUAUUUUGUACACUACAAGGGGUUCUAUUUUUCUAUUAAUAGGAGUUUUGGGUCUGGUUUAUAUGGUUCUAAUGAGCCAACAUUAAAUUUUGAAACAUUAGCUAAUCAAUCAUAUUCUAUCGCACUCGAAAUAAUAUUAUAUAUUGGAUAUCUUGUUGCUUUUCCUAUCAAAUCACCGAUUAUACCCUUACCUAUGUGGUUAUCGGAUACCCACGGAGAGGCCCAUUAUAGUACUUGUAUGCUUCUAACCGAAAUUUUAUAAAAAAUGGGAGCAUAUGGAUUAAUUCGAUCAAUAUGGAAUUAUUACCCCAUGUGCAUUCCAUAUUUUUUCCUUGGUUGAUAAUAGUGGGUACAAUGCAAAUAAUUUAAAGUGUAGCAAAACCAAACAAAAGUUAAAUCUUAACUCUUAAGCGUUUCUUUUCAAUCUUAAAAAGGUGUAGUUCGAGUUAGAGGUGUGCAUGGGCUGGGCCAGGCUAAGCUCAACUAAAAAUUUAGGCCGGUUUGCUAGGCCCGAGCUCAGCUAGAAAAAUGGGCCUAAAAUUUUGCCCAAGCCCGACUCGGAUAAAAAUGCUAAAACCCGUGCCCGACCCGUCCCGCCCAUAUUAAUUUUUAUAUUAUUUUAAAAUAUAUAUAAUACAUCAAAAAUACUAAAAACAUCAAAAUAAAUAUUUCCCAAUAAAUUGAAAAUAAAUUUUUAAAAAUAUGUAUACUUGAAUAACACUAAGAUAGAUGCAACUUAACAAGCAAAUACCUCUAAAAUAAUAACAAAAUUAAUAAAUGUCUUUAAAAUAAUAAUAAAAUUAACAAUAAAAUAAGUUUUAUACAAUAUCCACACAAUAACAACAAAAUAGUAGCAACAUAAUAGUAAAAUGGUCGCAAAAUAGGGAGAAAACAACAAGAAAAUAAUAUUAAAAAAUAAAAAAAAAAGUAAUUUUUUUGUCCUUUAAUGAAUUCGGGCCGAGCCUAGGCAAAAAAUACCUUACCCGAAACUAGGCUCGUUUUCUAAACGGGCCUUAUUUUUUUGUCUAAACCCUCCCACAUUUUGGGCGAACUUUCGGGUCGGGUCAGGUGGCCCGACCCAUGAGCAGGUCUAGUUCGAGUUUUAGCACGUGUAACUUUUCCUUACCUUAAAAUUAUAGACUUAUUUGAGUAAACUAAAAAGUUAGACUUAACCAAACUAAAGUUAAAUCUUAACUCUUAAACAAUUCUUUCUAAUCUUGCACCAUCAUUAGUUAAAAUAUAAAUGAAAUUAUAGAUUUUUAAAGCAUGUUAUUUAGAUUUUACAGUUAAUGUUUCCUUAUACGAGAGUGGUCAAUUGGAUUCUCUUGUAUUAAUUUAUUUUGUUCGGUACACUAAGUGGAUAUGUGUCAUCUAAGGAUAUGUAUCAUCUAAGGGAGAGUGGUCAAUUGGAUUCUCUUGUAUUAAUUUAUUUUGUUCGGUACACUAAGUGGAUAUGUGUCAUCUAAGGGUGAGUAAACUUAAACGAUUCUUUUUAAUCUUACACCAUGAUGAGUUAAAAUAUAAAUGAAAUUAUAGAUUUUUAACGCAUGUUCUUUAGAUUUUACCGUUAAUGUUUCCUUAUACGAGAUUGGUCAAUUGGAUUCUCUUGUAUUAAUUUAUUUUGUCCGGUAAACUAAGUGGAUAUGUGUCAUCUAAGGGUGAGCAAAAUUCGAUUUGAAAAACUCGAUAAAUAUUCAAAUUUUGAAUCAAAUAGUUCGAGUUAUUAAAGUUAAUCGAGUUAUUUGGAUCAACUCGAAUAAAAAAUAAAUUUUUCGGUUUAACUCAAAUAUGAAUUACACAAUUUAAGUUAUCCGAAAAUUCGAAUAAGAAAAAGUAAAACUACAUUGUUUUGAUAAAUGUUUUUCCAUUAAGUUAAAAAGCAAAACCAUUAUAUUGUUUAAAUAAUCUUUUAUUUUGUCUACUAGUUAAAUAAUUGGUCUAUGUAAACGCAACAUUAAGUAUAAAUAAUAGGAUUCGUUAACUCGACUCGAUUUGACUUGAAAUUUUUAACUCAAUUUGAAAAAAAUUCAAAUUGAGUUCGAUUGUUAAAAAAAGAUUCGUCAACUUAACUGACUCGAAAUUUUUUGACUUAAUUCGACUCGACUCGAUCGAAUGCUCACCUCUACUGUCAUCAAGUCAUUCUUUCAAUAUCAUUUGUGGAUUCUAAACGCUAUGCUAAGUACACUAAGUAAUUUAUUGAGGACUAAAGUUGUAAUAAUCAUUAAAAAAUAAUGUAAGAAAUUCUAACCAUUAUAUAUAGAAAAUUAAAUAUAUGUAAUGUUACGUUUAAAUGUAUCAAAAUAAAUCUUAUUAUUAAUGAAGUUAUAUUUUAUGCAUUAUUUUAUGAGGGCUUUUUGGGUCUCGAUUAAUAUGAAACGAUGGUUAAAUUCUUGUCAAGCAUUCAUUUAGUACGGGUUAAAAUCAUGUUACGCCCAUCCUCUACUCCCUAUAUAGUCUAAAAGACAUGUAUUAAUUGAUAUUUUAUUAAAUUUACUAUUUUUUUUGAAAAAAAUUGUAAGCAUUUUUUUAUUAAAUUACAGUUAAAUCUUAACUAGUAAGCAUUUAUUUUUCUAAUCUUAGACCACAGUGAGUUAAAAUGUAAAAGAAGUUGUAGAUUUUUUAAUGUAGAUUUUUAUGAUUUUAUAGUUAACAUUGCGUAAUUUAAGAAUGGUUGAAUAGAUGAACAUUCAAAAGGCAGAGUUCGAGUUUUAGCAUACAUAACUCUUCUUUAUUAAGACUCCGACUUUUUAUUGAAACCUAUUUGAAGGCGUAACUAAACUAAGGUUAAAUCCUAACUCAGUAAACGGUUUUUUUCUAGUCUUAUACCAUAAUGGGUUAAAAACAAAUGAAAUUAUAGGUUUUAAAUGCAUUUUCUUUAAAUUUUAUAGUUAUCAUUGCCUUAUACGAGAGUGGUGAGUUAGAUUGUCUUGUAUUACUUUAUAUUGCCCAAUACGUUAACUGGAUACAUAUCAUCACGUUAUCCUAUCAACCAUGGACGAAUUUAAGGGGUCACACAAGAGCCUUGCCCCUCUCCUAGAAAAAGGAAAAAUAACCUUGCGGCUCCUUUAUAAAAAAAAUAUAAUAAAUUUGCACUUUGGCGGUUAGCGCACCUAAUUAGUAUUUGUUUGUCCUUUGAAUGGAAUCGAUAGGGCACCUAAUCAGUGAUGUAGUUGAUCAUGGGAAUUGGACGCCUUUAUUUCUAUUUAGGAGAGGGUCGAUUUUGUCCCAUUUAUUUUUUGUCGAUGAUCUUAUGCUUUACUACGAGGCUGAUAUGGGUCAAGUGGUGCUUCUUAAUGAUAUUCUUAAUAGGUUCUAUCACUUUUUGGGUCAAAAAGUGAAUAAAUGCAAGUCUUAGAUUUUUUCCUCUCCUAAUAUACUGGACGAGUUAGCUGAUGCUAUUUGUAAUCUUGUGGGGUUUGUUCGUGUGAUUGAUCUCGGUAUUUAUCUGGGGUUACCAUUGAUGCAUAACAGAGUUAUGUCGAGUACUUUUGACUUUAUGGUUGAUAAAGUCCGUAAUAAACUAUCUGGUUGGGAUGUGAGGAACCUUUCUUUGGAAGGCAGAAUAACGUUGGCCAAGUCGGUGCUCUUAGCUAUACCAAAUUAUUUUAUGUGUACGGUUUGCAUUCCGGUCUCGGUGUGUAAUGAGAUUGAGAGGAUUGCCUGUAAUUUUAUUCAGGGUACUUGUAUCGAAUCAAAGAAGCUGACUUCUUUUGUCUUAGGGGCUUGUUGUCGUCCAAUAGAUAAUGGAGAUCUAGGGUUGCAAAGCCUUGCUGAUUAGAAUCAAAAUUUUCUAUUGAAGCUAGGUUUCCGGCUGCUUACCAAUAUGGAUGCCUUGUGGGUUAGGUUUUGAGGAAUAAGUAUAAUAUACACGGGGUGUUGUUGGUCUCUAUUGCUAAGAGUAAUUGUUCAUUUAUUUAGAGAUCUUUGAUGAGAGUUUGGUCUAAUGACAUCACUAAUGCAUAUUGGUCUAUUGGGGAUGGUUGGCUUGUAAACUUUUGAAAUGACGUUUGGGUUUGACGGAUUGGUCCUCCCUGAGGGUUUAUACAGGAUGAUACUUUAAAAGUAUGUGAUUUGAUAGACGUAAAUGGUUGUUGAGACUGGUCUUGUCUAUUCUCGCUAUUAUCGGUUAAUAUUGUUACACAAAUAACAUCUAUUGUGCCCCCUUCCAGUGAUACAUGUCAGGAUUGGUUAGCUUGGAAAUGGAUGGAGAGAGGCAUUCUUUCCACAAUAAAAAUUUUUAGAAAUAUGUAUCAGGGGGACAGUAUUGCGCUUGCUAAUAUUUGGAGGCUAAUUUGGAAUGCGAAAGCACCUCAGAGGUUUCAGGCUUUCAUUUGAUUGUUGUGGCAGAAUAAGUUGUUAAUGAAUGGGGAGCAAGUGAGGAAACACAUGUCUAGUGACGGUCAUUGUCCUAGAUGUGAUAAUGUGUUGGAAACUGGUCUCCAUACGAUUUAGGAGUGCCCUUUCUCGAGAUCGGUGUGGCUUGCAAUGGUGUCGAUUCAUGCUUAAAUUACGUUUUUAUCAUUGCCUCUUAAUGAAUGGUUAUUAUAGAACUUGCACGAUACACAUGGUUGUGGUAGUAUGGAUGUGGAUUGGCAAGCUCUAUUUUCCAUACUAUGUUGGUUGUUUUGGAAGAACCGCAAUCUCUUUAUUUUUUUUCUAAUUGUCAUAAUUGUGUAAAUGAUAUUAUGAAUAAUGGUUUUACUUGGGCAAGGAGUUUUGCAACGUCACUCUCAAAGAUCCUAGAACCUAAUCCUAUGGCCUCAUUGAGGCAUUGGACUCCUCUAUAGAAUGAUUGAGUUAAAUUUAAUAUUGAUGGGGCUUUGGCUUCAGGUAACACUACUGCUUCUACGGGGGGUGUUUAGGGACCUUAAUGCAAAUUGGUUGGGUGGCUAUUCAAUGAGGAUUGGCAAAGAAUCUAUCUUUAGGAUUGAAGCUCGUGCAAUGUUGGAAGGUCUGCGCAUUGCAUGGGACAUGGGGUUCAGGCAGAUUGAAUUGCGCAUUGCGUGGGACAUGGGGUUCAGGCAGAUUGAAUUGAAAUGCGAUAAUGCACUUCUGGUUGAGUUGCUUUUAGCUGGAUUGCAUGCAGAUAGUAGAUUGGUAGAGUUACGCUUAGUGCGUCAACUUCUAAGUAGGAAUUGGAAAGUAAGGAUUCAUCACAGUGUAAGAUCUCUAAAUGAAAUGGCUGAUCAUAUGGAAAAAGGUAUUGUAAGUGGCUAGCACUUCUAUAGUGGUUUGAGGAGCCAUCAUCCUCUGUGGUUAAUUUAUUGUUGGCUGAUUGUAACUCUUCAUGCAUAUUUAGUUUGAGGGUUUGAUGUAAUUGCUCUGUGCUAUCUUUUUUCUACCAAAAAAAAUCCUAUUAUUAAUGAAUUUAUAUUUUAUGCAUUAUUUUAUGAGGGUAUUUUGUGUUUGUAUUAGUAUGAAAUAAUGGUUAAAACUUUUGUCAAGCAUCCAUUUAGCAUGGGUUCAAACUAUGUUACCCCAUCCCCUAAUCCCUCUAUGGUCUAAAAAACAUGUUCUGAUUGAUAUUCUAUUGAAUUUAUUAAUCAUUUUUUAAAUUGUAAGCAUGUUUUAUUAAACUAAAGUUAAAUCUUAACUUGUAAGCAUCACAGUGAGUUAAAAGGUAAACGAAGUUGUAGAUUUUUGUAAUGCAUAUUUUUUAGAUUUUAUAAUUAACAUUGCAUGAUUUAAGAAUGAUUGGUCCGAUGAACAUUCAAAAGGCAAAGUUCGAGUUUUAGCAUGCAUAAUUCUUCUUUAUUAAUAUUGUGACUUUUUAUUGAAAUUUAUUUAAAGACGUAACCAAAUCAAGGUUAAAUCUUAACUCUAUAAACGGUUUUUUCUAUUCUUAUACCAUGAUGGGUUAAAAAAACAAAUGAAAUUAUAGGUUGUAAUUCAUUUUCUUUAAAUUUUAUUGUAAUCAUUGCCUUAUACGGAGAGUGGUGAGUUAGAUUGUCCUGUAUUACUUUAUAUUGCCCAAUACGUUAACCGGAUACAUAUCAUCACGUUAUCCUAUCAACCAGGAGCGAAUUUAAGGGGUCGCGUAACGACCUUGCGCCCCCUCCCAGAAAAAGGGAAAAUUAACCUUGUGGUCCCCUUAUAAAUAAUAAAAAUAAACAGAAAUAAUAUUAGUCUUUUAAAAAAUAAUGAAAUUAUUAAUUGAUAAAUUAAUAAAAUUACAUUUUCACAUUUCAAAAAUUUAUAAUUCAAUUCCACCCCUAAAAAAUUUCAUCAAUUCGCUUUGUUUGUGGACUCUAAACACUCCAUUAAUAACGAACUAAAUAAUUUCUUAUAAUUAUUAAAAAAAUAAUGUAAGAAAUCCUAGUAAUGAUAUGUAGAAAAUUAAAUAUAAUUAAUGUUACUGAUACAUUAUAUAUAAAUCUAUACAUUAUUAAUGCAUUAAAAUAAAUCAUAUUAUGGGAUUUUUAAUCCAGUUAAUCCUGGUUUGCUGGCUUUUGUCUAGAUUAUAACAGUUCUUAGUCCGUUUAUGUUGUAAUAAUUUGAUUCUAUUUUAUGAUUAUUCAGACUUGUAUUUAUAAUUAUAAUGGUUUAAAAAAAUCCUAUAAUUAAUGAUACUCAUUAUAAAUAUAUAAUUUGUUUUUAUAAAUUUUACAACAUACCAUUUUAAGCGGGAUAAUUAAAAUUUUGAAAAUAAUUAAGAAAUUAAUAAUACCAAAAAUAGCACUUUCCAAGGUUAUAACUACAGUAAAUGAAAAUUUGUAUCUCAUAAUUAUAAAUUAUUAUUUUAUUUAAAAAGAAAAAAGAAAAAGCGUUUUAGAGGGGCCACCACCUGUAAAUACCGGUGAGGGGGAAGGGCAGUGUCCAAUGAGAGAGUUGGUGUGACCGGCAAUAGUAAGUUCCUCGUUUAAAACGCCGGUUUGCCAAAUGGACUGUGUUGGCCACUAUAAAAAUGGUCAAAUUCCCAUUCCGAGGACACACAAACUAAGCUUUCAACACCCAAAUCCUUAAAAAUCAUGGAACGUGGUGAUGAGUUCAGUCGUUUUCCCAAGCUUGCAAAAUCAAAUUCUGGUAAAGCACCCUUCAACUAGAUAUAUUUUUUAUUUUAUUUUUAUGUUUCAUAGACAUAUAAUACCCAUUUUUUGUUUUUUUUUAAUGAAAAAUACACAAAGAUUUAUCCUCAAAAUGAUUAAGGUUUAUUGCAUGCAUCAACAGUUCUUUCCUUUUAUUUUUUUUAUUGACUUGGUUUUUUUUUUCCCCUUUUGCAUGUUGUUCAUCGCAAAUCUCCUUUCUUUCUUAUGUAUUAUAUCAAAAUUUUCCCCUUUUUAAAGUCCUUUUUUGAAAAAAAAUCAAAUUUUCACCCUUGAUUGUUUCUCGACGGGGUUUAAGCUUAAAAGCAAUAUAUUUAGACCACCUUUUUGACUUCAUCUUGAAUUUCCUCUAUGUUCAUAUAGUAACGCUUGCUUCAUUCUUCACUUUUGUCUUUUGUUUGUUUAUAUAUAUAUAUAUUUGUAUAUUAAUAAUGUUGUUGAUUGAGUUUGUGUCAUAAAUUAAUUGGAUAAAAUUAUAUUUUUUAUUAUUUAUUGUAUGUUAUUUUAAAACACAUAUUUGUGUUUUAAAUACGUGAUAUACGUAUUUAUAAAUAUUUAUUAGGUCCAUGUGGUAAAAAGUUUGAUUUCUUUGGAUUUUAGUGUUGUGGAUGAAAAAAAAAAUUAAUAACUAAUAUAAUAAUUAAAAACAAAUACACUUUUAUUUCUUUUUUUCUUUAAUUAAAAUAAACCAUUAUAAAUAUUAUAAACAAAGAAUUUUUAAAUAUGAAUUAAUUUAAGAAGUGUUUUGCUUUCAAUUGUUUUCUAGUUUAGUCUCUUUAAACACUUUUAUUUUUCAAUCAAUACUUUUUACAUCUUUUAACACAUGUGUUGAACCAAUCAUUUUAAAUAAUAUUAUUUGUAUACGGCCAAUCAAAUUGAUUGAAUUAAAAUUACGAUUUAUUUGAAUUAAGGUCGUUAAAAAAGUUGAAAAUUUAUUUGCACGGAUCUAAAAUCAAUUCAAUUAAUAAAGCAGGAAGAAAAUAUUAUUUGUUAUUUAUUUUCUUUUUCUUUUUCAUUUUUCCUUUUCAUUAUUUAGGGAAAAAGAAAAGUCAAAGCCUGUAGAGUGAGAAGGAGAAAAAGGGUUUGACUUUUAAGACUCCCAACAAAGAAUCUAAACAGUGAUAGGUGGGGCCCUUUUUAACUACCUCAUUGGGCCCCUUUCUCUAAAAGUGGGACCCAUUUAACGCCUGGAAUAAGCCACUUACGGCUUUCCACGUGUAUAUAGAAUCCCUCUGACACGGAGGUAGCAUUUACUUAUGACUUUUUAUCUUUUGGAUUUUUCUCUCUUUCUUUUGAAUGCUUUAAAGGAAGAAGAUUUUAUUAUUAUUUUAAGAGUUUUAAAUUAUUUGUGCGUUAAUGGCACUAACCAUCCUAUAAUUUUUACUUAUUUUAGGAUAAUCUUUAAAUUUUAAAUAAUUUUAGGGGUCAAAGUGCAAUUUUAUAUUUUUUUUGGCAGGUUUGGGUAUCAUUCAACAUGGUGAUUCAUCGAACUCCAUUAACAACGUUAACAACAUCUUCAACGUCACCGACAAUGUCAGCAACGCCGGUAACAUCUCCAACACCAGCAACACCAAUGCCGUCAGCACCAUGCCUCCACCGGGCCCGGUGUUGCGCGAACAGGAUCAGUACAUGCCAAUAGCCAACGUGAUCCGCAUCAUGCGCCGCAUCCUACCACCCCAUGCCAAAAUCUCAGACGAAGCCAAAGAAACCAUCCAAGAAUGCGUUUCGGAGUUCAUCAGUUUCAUCACCGGGGAAGCCAACGAACGCUGCCAAAGCGAGCAACGCAAGACCGUCACCGCCGAGGACAUCCUCUGUGCCAUGGGAAAACUAGGCUUCGACGACUACAUCGAGCCCCUCACCGUUUACUUGACCCGGUACAGGCAAUCCGAGAACGAGAGGACUUCACUGCGCGGGGACACCUUUUUGAAGCGCGGGAAUGCCUAUGGCCCAAUGAUCAUUCCCCCUCACGGCGUCGAGCCUUUCAAUGCGGGGUUUCAGGAAGGGAUGACGGAUGCCACCUCCGCCGCCGCCCGAGCCAUCAUGGGUGGAUACAACCAUGGUGCUCAUCCAGGUGGUGCCGCUGGAUCAUCAUCGCAGCAGGCUCCUUUCGAUAACAACUUGGAUCCAUUUGUUGAGUUCAAAUGAGAAAAUAUGGAUUAAAACAGGGAAAAGCAAAUUUAAUUUGAAUAAACAGAUAAUCAUAGUAUCAAAGUAGCCGUUGUUUAGGAAUAUAUGGAGAAGGCAAGUAUACAGAUACAGUGUGGGCAUCAGUUAGGGUUAUAAUUUUCAUUUUGCUUAAUGAACUUGAACAUGUAUCUGUUCAUUGGUAUGGUUUAAACAGUUACAGUAAUAGGAUUGCUUGUGUUUUUUUAAUGUAUUUGGAGCUGAAUUUGAGUAAAUUAUAAAUUCAAAGUUUUUUUUUUGUUAUAUUUAAAGAUGCUGCUAUAUUAGAAGUUGGAUUACAUUUUCUCUCAUCUAAUAAAAAAUAGCAAAUUAAUCCUUAUACGAAGUAUACCACAUGUAAGUGUCUAGUUAUUUCAUUAACCACACCAAUUUUUAAUAAAAAAUAUCAGUUUACUGUUUGAUCUAAUAUAUAAUGAUAAGUUUAUUCAUUUGUUAAGUAAAAGAGACAAAAUACAAUUUAAUUUUUAAUACAAAUCCCUUAUAAUACUUUUACCGCUUAAUCAAGUUUAACAAGCUCGAGCAUUUUGAUUUUUCUUCUUAAUUAAGCCACGGUAAAUUCGAUUGAGCUUUUAAAUGUCAAAUUUCAAACUAUUUAAUAAGUAAAAUUUGAAUAUACUAAUAUUUGAAUUGAAUAACUCAUAAGUUUAACGGAAAUUUUUUUUUUAUUUAUUUUUAGCUAGUAUUGAAAAAUCUCAAUUUCAACUUCAACUCAACCAUGAGAGUCAUGUUCAUUUUUACUUCAGCUCAACCAUGAGAAUCAUGUUCAUUUUCACUAGGAAAUAGGCUUAAUCAAGCUUAAUAAUCUUAACUAAAUUUUACUCGAUUAUACUCAUCUAUAAAUGAAAACAUGUUACUUGGAUUACACCCAUGUUACUUGGAUUCUUUAUUCUUCUUAAAGUACUAUCCAAUGUUUUUAAAAUUUAACUGGUGAUUGAAUUUGUGAUUGAACUUAUCAUACUAUUAAUUCGUUGAUUUAACUGACUUGAUUAAAAAAUUAUUCAAAAUUCAAAAAAGAAAAAUUUAAAACCCCAAUUCAACUGACUUUUUAGUUGGUUUAAUCGAUCCGUACCAUUUCCUGACCUAAUCGGUUCAAAGCCACUCUCCGGAUUGAUACCCCAACCAAUUUAUGAUCCAUUCCAAUUUAAACAACAUUUCCAAUAUCAAUAAUGGCAUUUCAAGUUAUUUUGACUUAACAGCAAUGGUGAUUAAGUUCACAUACAUACAUAAGAAAUUAGAGCUGCUGCUUCUCUAUAAAUGAAAACAUAUAACCUAUGUGGCUCGGAAUUUUUAUUUUUAAAUAUUCGUAUCUGAAACAUAGGGUUAUACAACACUCGCACCCGAAUCCGAGUAACAUAAUAUAUAACUCCUCCCACUGCAAUGAAAGUUUCUUUAUUCAAAGGAUUGAAAGUUCAUUAAUCUGAUCAGUUAGUCAAUCCUCAUUUCUCAUUUGGUUUCAAGUACAAAUUCUGUUUUCUUAUAUACUCUAUCACUUCAUCUACAGUCAAAUAUUUUAUAGACAAUCCUCUUGAAAUGCAUUCCCUGAAACAAAAAUGAAAAGAAAACAGGGAAUCUCCAUCAAAAUCAGACUCGAAAAUAAAGUUGCAUAUAUCUUCUAGUACUAUAAUAGACCAAAAACUAAUGCUGUUUUACCUCAAUCUAGUUGAACUGAUUUGGUUCGGGACAAGUUCGUCGACAAUUCUAAUGUUAUCCUGAAAGAAACAAAAGCAAAUGUGCCAAAAUCAGUGAGAUAGGCCUUUUAUCCUGAAAGAAACCAGCAUAUAUGACUUUGUGGGACUCUAAUGUUCCUUUCCGGAGCCAAUUGAAGUUCAAAUAUCAUCAAGGGUAAUGACCGGGAAUUGAGACCUCAAUUUGCUUCUUGUGAAAAAGUGGAAAGAAUCGAGAAACCCCAGUACUAACCUGGUUUUCAUUCAAAAUUUCAUCGCCGUUGAUGAUUUUUUCCAAAUCUUGUCCUUCUCUACGAAUGCAAACCACACCGUAAUCCUUGCAUAUACUUCUAACCUGAUAUUUGAUGCAAAUUCCAAAGUUAGUGCCUUCAUAUGAUAAGCUAGAGCAUGCUCUACGCAUUAUAUUUAGACCAAAAAAUAUAUCCUUAAUGUCCCCAUCGUCCUUUAACACCAAUACCAUACGAAGAGACUAAUAAGCAUAUACCUGCUCAGGGAUCCAAAACCCGGGAAUGCUGAAAGAUUGAACUAAAUCAGAACCACAAACAAGCAUGACUUUAAGGGAUUCUGCAAAAAGACCGAUAUCGUUACUGUAUCUCCACUCCUCAUUAUCAAUUCAAUAACCUUGUAGGUUGUCUUUUUUAUUGGAUCUAACAUUUCAUAGUUCUAUUUUAUCCCAACCAAUACAUCUGAUCUUGACAAACGAACCAAAGAAGUUACUAAAUGGUAUCAUUAAACAUGAGAUAAAUAUAUUAUAUGACCCUUUUGAGCUGACAACAAUGUAUGAAUGACCCAUAUGCAUGUUGAUACAGCUUCUAAUAUUUAUUCAUUUGGUUGUAUAUAGUAUGUUAUUUGAAAUUAAAAAUUGUUCAUUUGUUAAACUUAAAAAAUAUGAUGGUUCACAGAGACAGUUCCGGGAAACAAGAAUCUAGUUUUUCCAUUUAAUCAAGCAUCAACCCGUUAUUGCAAACUGAUUAUAAUGCAUAACUGUAUCUAUCAAAUUAUGUGUAUUGGUAGGAAAGAGAGUUUAAGUUUUUGCUUGUAUACCCUUAGGUAUCAGUCCACCCUCAAUCAAGAAGCUCUUGACUCGAUUAAGAACGGUUAGAGAGCGCUGAAAAGAGCUUUGUUUUGCCUGUAAAUGAGAAUGGGAAAAAAAAAAAAGCACUUUAAAAGGCAAGUCAUACUUUGCAAAUGCAACAGAUGUUCCUUACGAUUCAACUCGGGUUUUCCAACAAAUUUGCAAAACAAACACGGGAGAAAGAGAAACAGUACCUCCCAAGGAUCAACCAUGAUAAAAUCGGAACUUUUACAGGCUAGAUUACACAACUCGAUACGAUGAUCAGCAGCUAUAAGGCCCUGCAUAAUCAAUCAAAACUACUCAAUUGUAGUAUAUAUAACCACAUAACAAGAUAAGCACAUAUAACUAGCUAUUGCCAUUUUCCUCUAAUUUAUUCAUUUUUGGAUUAUAAUCCAACGCAUUAGUGAUUGAAUUCUAGCCAAUUUCACUAACCAAAUUAUUUCCAAUUUUUCUCCAGAUGCUAAUGAAUCAAAACCUAAGCUUAUAACAAAAAUUGGUAAAUUCUACCAUUAAUAAAUAAUUCAGUAAAGAAAAAGACUAACCUUUUUCUUGUAAGCAUCAUUUACAGGUGACAUAUAGCCUCCUAUAACACAAAACCCAUUUGAAUUCAACGCAUCUCUAGCCAGUUCUAACCAUAUAAAAAUUUAAAAAAAAAAUCAAAACCCAUAAAAAUAAAGAAAAAAAUGAAAGCAAAUUAUAAUUUUAAAAAACUUACCAAACAUGCGUAAGUGCAUCAAAGUAGGAGGAUUGAAGCUUCCAGUAGCUACUAAAACUACAUAAAUUUUGUCCCCACUUUGAUUAAAUAGAAAAAGAAGAAGAAGAGAAAUUAGUAUGAUAUCAAAAGUAGAUGAAGUGAAACAAUAAAAAAAAGCAAUAAUUUAAAUAAAAUAAAAUAAAUAGAAGAGAGUAAUUUACUUGGUUAUUGAUGGUAGACAUAGUUUAUCUAAAGGCAAUGUGAUCUCCAUUUUAAGAAUUUUUUUGGGGUUUAGGGUUUAGUAUUUCAGAAAUUUUUUGAAUGAAUUAAAAAAAAAAAACCAGAACAAUUUUAUAGAAUAAAAUUCAAAGCUCUUGAAGAAAACGCAGAGACGAAAAAACAGGGGAGAAAAGAGAAAGCCGGUCUUGAUAAUCACCGUGUCAAAAACGACAGCGUAUGGUUAAUGUAAGUUGACUGCAAACGACGCCGUCUACAAGGCUAGUUUUUUUUUAAUUGCAUAUAUUAUUAUUUUGUAUAGCAUUUAAAUUAUUUAAUUUAAAAAACCAUUAAACUAAAGGGUAAACAACAUUUGAAUCAACUAUUUAUCAUCUAAUUAUGAAAAAUUACAAAAUAGUCACUUAUCUAUUUGAUUUAUUUUUUUUGUCACCAACAUCUAAAUUAUUAACGAAAAUAUAAUUUGACAGUUUUUAAAAUUAAUAUAAUAACAACUUUAACCCUCAAUACUUGUAUAUUAUUAAAAUUAGAUAAUACCAACCAAUUUGAGCAAUAAGAACCAAUUAAUUUGAAAAGGUGGCACGUAUCAAAUUGAAAUCCAUAUGCAAUAGUUGUAUAAAGUGAAACUCAAAUUUAGAUACUCACGAUAACUUUAACAUUUGUCAAUAGUAUCAAAAUAUUGUUAUUGAUUUAAUGAUAGUAUUAAAUGCAAUCACAUAUAUAAUCAUAUUCGUUGUCGGAGGGGUGUUCAUUCAGUUAACCGACCGGUUAACCGACCCGAAAUUACUAUAACCGAAUUAACCGACCUUCCAAAAAUUUUAACCAUUAACCAAACCGAUUUUUUUUAAAAAAAAUAACCGAACCGAAAUUUUUUCGGUUAAUAAGGUCGGUUAACCGAAUUAAUCGAAAAUUAUGUAUUUUUUAUUUUUGGUUAAAAAUUACCCGAAUUACCGAAAAAUACCCGAAUUACCCGAAUUUUUUUUAUUUUUUAUUUUUAAAAUUUAAAAAAUUUGUAAAUUAUUAAAGUAAAUUGGGUUUUAGACUUUAGUAAAUUGGGUUGUCUUUUAGUUUUAGUUUUAUUGGAUUGGGUAAUUGGGUAAACUUUAGUUUUAGUUUUAUUGGGUUGGGUAAUUGAGUUUGGGCUGGGUUGGAUAAUUUUAUUUAUUAAUUUUUUCGGUUAACCGACCAGUUUCGAACCGAAUUAACCGUUAACCGAAAAAUCAUAAAAAAAUUAACCGACCCCCGACCGAAAAAUUCGGUUAACCGACCGAUUUAACCGAAUUCGGUCGGUUAACCGAAUUUUUUCGGUUUUACCCGAAUUAUGCACACCCCUAGUCGGAGUAACUAUAGUCAAUCAGAUAGCAUACAACCAUUUAUACAUGUAAACCAGUGCCAAUCACAUUCAAUUCAUGUUAAUCAAAAAAUUUCAAGUCUUAAUCGAGCUUACGAAAGCUCUUUUGUUGACCCGAGUAUGAAAUAGAAUCAAAUUGCAAAGUUUUAAAAGUUUAAGGUCAAUGUCAUGAUGUCGCCGAACGGUUUCUCAUGUCGUGACCUCAGGCCACUCAACGUCGCAAUAUGAUUCACUGUCGGCCGGCAUUGCGACGAAGAAGGUUGGUCAUCGAGACGUGGGUUCUAUUUUUGAUAAAAUUAAACCAUUUGGCACCUAUUUCAAUGCUUCAUUACAUAUCUAUCAUUAUGUUCAGCAAAACAUCAUUUUUACUUGAUUUCAAACUUACCAAAUCACGUUAUACAAUUCAAACAUUCAAUCCAACCAAUAAACAAGCAUUCAAUACAUAAUCUCCAACUAAACUCGAACAAUUCAAAUGACAUUUUAUUUUAACAUUUAGCCAUUUAAAUGCCAACCCUUGUUUAUGCCAUAACAUCUUGAAGCAUACCACUCUCUUUUUAGUUAAUCAAAUACAUGCCAAAUCACAAUUCAACCAAGACAACAUGUGCCAUUUCAUAUAAGCAUCAACCAUUUCCAAACUACCAUUUCUACUUCAUUCAUGCCAUUUCAUAUAUCAUUCCUUUGAUUAUAAUUCACCUCACCUAUUACCAUAAGCACAUAUAUAUACUCAACAACAUAAACGAUUUAGGUUAUUAAUUCAAUAUGAUCAUUAAAGGUUAAAGCAAACUUAUCAUUAGUAAGCAUAUUUACAUGCUAAGUUAUAUCACAAGACACCUUAUAUACAUGUCAUAAUUUAUGACUCAAAAUUAUCAAAAGCUAUCAAAUCGGUGAUAAGAUAGUGUGAGCUUUCCAACGAUCCGGCUUGACGCGUUCCGCAAGAUGAUGAUCUAAAAGGGAAAUAGGAAACAAACGGGGUAAGCAUAUAAAAUGCUUAGUAAGUUCAUAAACAUUAAAUAAAACUUACAUUAGCUUUCAAUUAAAUACAAAAGGCUAUCACAAGUUGCAUAUUUUAGCUAGCAUGGCAAACCAAAACGUUAACAAUGUGAGUAUUUACUUAUAUACAAUCAUAUGAUAUCACAAGUAAAUAAUAUGUCAACUCAAGUCAUUUACUUAACCAAACUCAAAACUUAUUCAAUUUAAGGAUUGUUACAAUCAUUUAUAUAUAUGACAAUGUCAACAUUUCAAUACCAUACUUAUGUUCAAUUUAACAAUUGUCCAUUUGGACACUAAGUUCAUAUCAUGUAAAUUUCACAUUAAUCAUUUUGUCUGAGCAAAGUAUAUUCAUAUCAAGUUACCAGUCCAAGAUAAACAUUUAUACAAAACAUCUGAUUGUUUAUCCAAACUGAAAGUAUACAUGUCAGGUUACUCGUCUGAGCUAAACUUUUAAAAUUACAUCAAGAUACUAGUCCAGGCUAAACAUGUGUCACAUGUGUCUUUGAGUCCACAACAAAUGUUGGAUCUCAGUAAUAUCUGUAACCAAUCUUGUACAAGAAUUCACAAAACUCUAUUGGCAUUGGCAUGUCAAUCGUAUCCUAACCUUUAAUAAGUUCACACGGGCCCUAUUUCCACUUAUACCAUCAUUUUACAAUUCAAACCAAUUCUCACAUUUUUCAUCAAUUCAUAACUAAGCCCACAUAUAAAUCAAAUACACAAUAAACAAUUAGCAUAUGAACUUACCUAGUCAAAACAACAAACCAAUUGAAUCAUCAAGGACUAUUCGACAAUUUUGACUUUUCCCUUAUUAUCUUCGGUUUGAUUCAAUUCUUGAUCUAAACAUUUAUUUUAAACAAUUCAUCAAUACCAAACAUUUUUAUAUCAUUCCAUGAUAUGAAUGAAUCUAUUUAACUCUAUUUUUUGAAUGCCCUUAAUUUUUACCUUUUAUUCAAUUUAGUCCCUAAAACUGAAAUAACAAUAUCUUUCAAAUUUGAGUUUUGGUUUCAAAACCGAUCUCAAUCACAUUCAUUAUAGACCCUCUACUAUCUAUUAUUACAAAAAUUUUAUAUCAAUUUCAUAACUUAUUCACUUUAGUCCUUAUGUACAAAAACUAACAACUAAUCAUUACAAUUUAGUCCUUUUCCAUAUCAAAGCUUAAAAUAUAUCAAUUUAACACCAAAAUCUUCAAAAAAUCAACAAUGACAACUUUCAAAAACUUUAACAAUUUUAAAAAUUUGGUGGAAGAAGAAAAAAAAAGUACUUUUCACUUACAAGCCGUUUAUACUUUAGUUUAUUCCUUAAUCACCUAAUUAACUUAAUUAAACUUCAAUCUCAAUUAACCAAAGUUAGUGGAAGAUAACAUCAUUCUCCACUAUUUUAUUAAGUAAAAUGGUUUAAUUAUCGUUUUGAAUCUUUUGCUAUUUAAAAAUCUAUAGUGGUAAGAUUUUUACAAUUUAAUUCUUGUACCUUAAUUAAACAAUUAAUAGAAAAAAUUAAAGAACUAAACUCUAAUAUUCUUUUAUAUAAACUCCAUAAAUAUUUAUAAUUAAUAUUUACGGACUCAAUUUACGAAAAUAGAGUUUCGAAACCGCCUUUUUCAGCACCAUUAAAAAUCGAGAUUUAUGUUCAUUAAAAAGAAAAUAGACCAUUGAAAAUCGGGGUUUAUUUUCAUUAAAAUUUAAUUGUGCUGUGAUAAGAAGUUCAUCUUGGAUUUAUGUUGGUUACAAUGAGAAUCCUUUGAACUGCCAUUGUUGCAAGCUGCAUGCACUAUCAAUUCUAUUCAUAGAAUCUCAGGCCAAUAUCGGUGCAAGCUAACAUAGACCUAAAAGUACUCCAAAAAGAUACAAACCAUAGCUAUAAGGGUCCUCUAAAAUGCAUCGGCAAUCGCUGCAUCGAUACCAAUUGUAUCAAACUCGAUCUCGUCUUCGGUUCGUCGAGCCACUUCUACCCUAAAGCUGUUGCAGAGAUCAUCAAAGUCUCCCAUUGAUGCACAAGCACCAAAAUAUUGAACACUUACUGUCUGCAAAGACAAAGGGUAGGAUCCUAUAAGAUUAUUUGGUUUUAUGACACAAAGAAACCCAUAAAUUUGAGAACCUUGAGAACAGGAUGUGUAACACUUGACAAUUAACUCCAGCAAAUGGUAUGAUAUUUGAUAAUGGGAUACUUGGAAAGGAAGGUAAAAGUGGAAUGUUAUUUUUUAUGAUAUUAAUAUAUUUAUUUAUUAAUAAAAAUAUAUAAAAAAAUUUAAAAUAUUCAUAUAUUUAUGUUGUAUUAUACUUUAUAAGUAUCACAUAUCCAUCUUUAAAUGUAAUAGAAGAGGUAACAGUUGAAAUCUCAUCGAAUAUCCUACCCAGUACUUUUAUUAAUAAGGAAAUAUGUCAUACUACCCAAGCUUCAACGACAUAAUUGAAUAAGUUUCUAUAAUUAUUUACAGAUUUAGUUGUAAAAUUUUUUAUAUUCUAUAUUUUCAUUCUUUACGUUCAUGAAUAUUUUUCUCAACAAUGUAAUCGUCAAAAUUCAAACAUGCAUCUCUUUGUAUAUCUUUAUUUUCUACUUUUGACAAUUAAUCUUCGAAGUAUAAUAUAAUAAACCAAUUCAUCUACGAAGUAUAAUAUAAUAAUCUAUCUUUUUUAAAAAAAUUUAUUUUAUGUUUGGAUGAAGAUAAUCCAUCCUUAUGAUAUAGUAGUAUAAACAUCUGAAAAUUGCAGACUUUCCCAAUGAUAAUUGCUGCAACAUUUUACUUCCUAAUAAUAGUAAUCUAGCUAGAAUUAAUAGAUAGUUUAAAUAAUAAAAAAAUUGAAUAAAACCCCAAAUCAAAUUCAUAUUCUUGGCAUGUUCUUCUGGCUAUAUAUAGUUUGUAUUUUUAUUUGAAAAAUACUUCAUUAAAACAAGGGCAGGCAGGCAUAGAAUGGAAAGCAUGUGGUCUACCAGCCAAGGCUCUUCCCCUCAAUAUAUAGGCAAGCAUUUGGUCCAUCACAGUUGAUUCACUUCAUUUUUACACCCACUUUAUAUACACACAACUAUUUAGUUAAAGGUUUUCAAUUAUGGAAAAUAGAAAAGAGGGUGAAAUUGAGGACAUGCCAAUGCCAUUGUCCCCACCAACAAUGGGGUCUAUGCAGAUUGCAGGAAGCAAUGGUUUUGGUCAUAACAUUGAGUUCAUGUCUCAGGCUUACCUCAGAAACCGAUACUCUGAGAUCGAUAUUGAGGACUACACCGUGUAUGCUGAUAAAGACCACCCUCUCCCCAUAUUUCUCAAGGUAGUUGAUUUCUUGGGUUCUUUUGAUUUAUUUGAUAUUUAUCGGUAUUAACUUUUUCGAUUGGUUUCGUAAAUGAAGUUUGAAGAUGUGGAAUACAAGGUUCGAAGUAGCCAAGCAGCCUCAAUCAACCCGGUGCGAGUGGUGGUGUCAAAGUUUGCCUCGCAACUUAACUUGGAACAAGAUAAAUACAAGGAGAUCCUUAAAGGUGUAACAGGCAGCACUGGCCCUGGUGAAAUCCUAGCUUUGAUGGGUCCUUCUGGUAGUGGCAAAACAACCUUGUUAAAAAUAAUAGGUGGAAGGUUGACAGAUAAUGUGAAAGGGAAUAUAACAUACAAUGACAUACCUUACAAUCCGGCUCUUAAACGAAGGUUAGCUCAUUUUUAUCGAAGCUUUUCUUUUUUCUGUCAUUCAGUCGAUUUUGAGUGUUUCAUUUUCUUGAAGGAUUGGAUUUGUGACACAAGAUGAUAUCUUGCUCCCCCAACUAACAGUGGAAGAAACCUUAGUUUUUUCAGCAUUUCUGAGACUUCCGAGUGACAUGAGCCUGCAACAAAAGUAUGCAAAAGUAGAGAUGAUUAUGAAGGAGCUAGGCCUUGAAAGGUAUGAACUAUGAUCAUCACUGAGAUAACAAACAGACCUUUUACCUUCUUUUCAAGUUAUCUGUUGCAUAACUGUAGAUGUCGUCACACGAGAAUCGGGGGAGGAUUGGUUAAAGGAAUAUCAGGAGGAGAAAGAAAAAGGACUAGUAUUGGCUAUGAAAUUCUUGUUGAUCCUUCAUUGUUGUUGCUCGAUGAACCAACUUCGGGUCUUGAUUCCACCUCAGCCAAUAAACUUAUUCAUAUUCUUCAAGGAGUUGCUAAGGUAUCCUAAUUGACCAUAACAUGUACAGAAUGCACCAUUUUCAUAUAACAAAUUAGUAAAUGGUUGAUGUUCUACAGGCAGGGAGAACUGUAAUCACAACAAUUCACCAGCCAUCAAGCCGAAUGUUUCACAUGUUUGACAAGCUUCUCCUGAUAUCGGAAGGAUACCCUAUUUACUCCGGGAAGGCAAGAGAGUGCAUGGAAUAUUUUUCAUCAUUGCAAUUCAUCCCGGAAAUAGCAAUGAAUCCAGCUGAGUUCUUGCUUGAUUUAGCAACUGGCCAAGUUAAUGACAUAACUCUGCCUGAAGAUCUAGUGGCAUCUCAAGGAACUGCUGAUUCAGACAGGGCUGUAAUCAAAGUAUAAACUCCUUCAAACUAACAAUUUAAGUGGGCAUUGAAUCCCUUUCUAUGAUCUUCUCCUGAAAACAAUUUUUUCUUUACAUCAUAUUAGUAUCUUCAACUCAAGUAUAAAACUCAUUUGGAGCCAAAGGAAAAGGAAGAGAAUCAUCGAAGUACCAAGGCGCCUCAACAACUUCAACUAGCCAUUCAAGUUAAGAAAGACUGGACAAUAACUUGGUGGGAGCAGUUCAUGAUAAUAAUGAAGAGAACCUUUCGAGAAAGACGAAGGGAUUACUUCGAUAAACUAAGAUUACUACAAUCAUUAGGAGUUGCAGUCUUACUAGGUCUGCUUUGGUGGAAAUCCAGUGCUGCAACCGAGGCUCAACUGCGGGAUCAAGUAAACAUUUCUCAAACUUCAUUAUACAACUCUUUGAAUCCCUCUUACAUUAAUCAGUAUGUGUAAAGUGCAGUUUUCCACACUCUUUUUUGUUUUAGGUUGGUCUGCUAUUCUACAUAUGCAUUUUUUGGACAUCUUCAUCAAUUUUUGGAGCAGUAUAUGUUUUUCCUUUCGAAAAGGUCUAUUUGGUGAAAGAAAGGAAAGCCGACAUGUACAGGUUAAGUGUAUACUAUGUUUGCAGCACUCUGUGUGACAUGGUAGCACAUGUUUUGUAUCCUACAUCAUUCAUGUUGAUUGUCUACUUCAUGGCUGGCUUUAAGAGAACAGUCGUUUGUUUCUUCCUCACAUUGUUUACCAUCUUACUGAUAGCAAUUAUAAGCCAAGUAAGUCAAGCAAUUUCGGAUAUAAGACUUAUUUUCAUUAAAGACUCGAAUAUCUCUUUCAACUAAUGCAAUCUUAAAACCUAACAAAUGAACAAAAUUAGGGAGCAGGAGAGCUAUUUGGGGCUGCAGUUUUGAGUAUUAAGAGGGCCGGGAUGAUGGCCUCUUUGGUUUUGAUGUUGUUUCUUCUAACAGGAGGUUACUAUGUCCAGGUACUUUAAAACUACCAUGAAAAUCGGUUCCAAGUCUUCAUUAGAGAAAACUAUGAAUGAGUUCACUAAAAAAUGUGGAGUGUGUUGUUUUUGUUUUGCAGCAUAUACCGAAAUUUAUGAGGUGGAUGAAGUACUUAUCUUUCAUGUACUAUGGCUUUAGGCUCCUGGUGAAAGUGCAAUACUCUGGAGAUCAAUUGUACGAAUGUCAAAGCAAAGGUGGCUGUCGGACUCUGCAGAAUUCACCUUCGUUUGAUACGGUUAACCUCGAUGGAGGCUUGCAAGAAGUAUGGAUUUUACUUGCCAUGGCGCUAGGCUACCGAUUGUGUGCUUACUUUUGCCUGCGCAAAAGAAUCAGUGGAUGUCAUAUUUGAGCAGGAUUCUACUUUGCUGAUAAAUAUAUGUAACAAAAGACAGGUCGAGGGGCUUUGAUUACUCCUCACCUGUUAACUUUUGAAUUCCAAGCAUGUGCAGAAGUUCUAAAACAAUGUCAUUAAAUUUUCAAGGUGUCCUGCAUAUAAAGUAAUUUGAUUUGAAUAUUAAAGAAACUUAAUUUGAUUUAAUCAAGUCAUUAAAUUAUAUGGAAUUUAUUUUAGUAACUGUAUAAAUAUGGCAGUAAGAAACUGUAUAAAUAACCCAGAAAAAAACAGCACUUAUCAUUUAAGAGUACUCGACAAUAACUAACAACAACAUAACAAAAGCAAAAAGCACCAAACAAAAUGUAAAACAAGCUAACAGAUGCUUCAAAAGUAAGAUAAAUCUACUGAUCUUAUAAAAACAUGUUAGGCUUAAUCAACUUCCUCCAUCUUGCUGCCUUCGGCAUCAGCAUCCUCCAAUGGGGGCAUAUCAGCAUCACCUUCACCUUCACCUGCAUCCUCAUCAAUGCUCAAGCCGAGUUUCAGCAUCCUGUGGAUUCUGUUGCCAAAGGUGUUAGGCUCAUCAAGGCUGAAGCCAGAGGUGAGGAGAGCAGUCUCGAAGAGAAGGAGAACAAGGUCCUUCACAGAUUUAUCAUUCUUCUCUGCAUCGGCUCUCUUUCUCAGCUCUUCCAUGAUGGGGUUCUCCGGGUUGAUCUCCAUUGUCUUCUUGCUUGACAUGUAACCAGCCAUGCUGUUAUCCCUCAAAGCCUGGGCCUUCAUGAUUCUCUCCAUGUUUGCAGUCCAACCAUACUCGCCAGUCACUAAACAGCAAGGUGAGUCAACCACACGAUCAGAAACCACAACCUUUUCAACCUUGUCACCCAGCACAUCCUUGAUGACCUUGCAAAGACCCUCAAACUUUUCCUUCAAAGCUUCCUUCUUCUUCUUCUCAUCCUCACUCUCAUCAAGUUUAAGACCUUCCUUGGUAGCUGACACAAGCUUUUUGCCCUCAAAUUCUUUGAGCUGUCCGACAGCAUACUCAUCAAUAGCAUCAACCAUGUAAAGGACCUCAUAACCCUUCUUCUUCAGCUUCUCAAGGAAGGGAGAGUUCUCAACUGCCUUUUUACUCUCACCAGUGAUGUAGUAGAUAUCAUUCUGACCCUCCUUCAUUCUGGUCACAUAGUCCUUCAAGCUGGUCAGCUCAUCACCACUCUUGGUGGAGUGGUAGCGGAGCAAUUCGGCAAUUUUAGUCCUGUUCUGAGAGUCCUCAUGGAUACCAAGCUUGAGGUUCUUUGAGAAUGCCUCAUAAAACUUGUUGUAAUCUUCCUUGUUCUCUGCUAUUUCAAAGAAGAGCUCAAUGCACUUCUUUACCAAGUUCUUGCGGAUAACCUUCAAGAUCUUGUUUUGCUGCAACAUUUCUCUUGAGAUGUUCAAAGGAAGGUCCUCUGAGUCGACAAUACCCUUAACAAAGCUGAGGAAUUCAGGAAUCAACUCCUCGCAGUUGUCCAUGAUAAAGACACGUCUCACAUAGAGCUUAAUGUUGUUGGGCUUCUUCCUUGUAUCAAAGAGAUCAAAAGGAGCCCUCUUGGGGACAAAGAGGACAGCCUUGAACUCAAGUUGCCCCUCAACUGAGAAGUGCUUGACGGCCAAAUGCUCUUCCCAGUCAUUUGUAAGGCUCUUGUAAAAAGCAGCAUAUUCUUCCUUGGUAAUCUCCUCAGGCUUCCUCAUCCAGAUGGGCUUCUGUUUGUUCACCAAAGACCACUCGUGCGACACCUCCUUAAUCUUCUUCUUUUUCUUUUCUUCCUUCUCUUUAUCCUCAUCAACAUCCUCAACUUUCCCUUCUUCGUCCUUCUUAUCCUCCUCAUCUUCAUCAUCAGAAAUCUCCUUCUCAGUGGUCUUCUCAAUCCAAAGGGAAAUCGGGUAGCUAAUAAAUUCAGAAUGCUUCUUAAUCAAAUCCUUCAAACGUCGCUCCUCAAGGUACUCAAGCUGAUCCUCUUUCAAAAACAGAGUAAUCUUUGUACCCCUACCAAGGUUCUCCCCGGAAGUAUCCCUGGUAACAGUGAAUGAACCACCAGCUUGGGACUCCCACACAUAUUGUUCAUCAUCAUUAUGCUUUGUGGUUACAAUAACCUUCUCAGCAACCAAGUAUGCUGAGUAGAAACCAACACCAAAUUGACCAAUCAUACUAACAUCAGCACCAGCAGCCAGUGCUUCCAUAAACUCCUUAGUACCAGAUCUUGCGAUUGUACCAAGAUUGUUCACCAAAUCUAAACAACAGAAAUAUAUAUCACAUUAAAAUAUGUUCAAAAUUGAAACUCCAGAACUGAGUGCACAACAAUUAAGUAGAAAUAACAAAGUACUUACCAGCUUUGGUCAUACCAAUACCACUAUCAAUGAUUGAUAGAGUGUUAUUGGUCUUGUCUGGAACAAUAUGAAUGAAGAGCUCAGGCUGUGCAUCAAGCUUGCUCUUGUCUGUCAAGCUCUCGAACCUGAUCUUAUCCAAAGCCUACAGGUAAAAGAUUUAACAUCAUAUACUAAUUACUAACCACACCAAAAGGGCACUUCAGUUAUGUUAUACGCAUUAGAUUCACGAGAUCUUUCUUAUUUACUCUUUUACAUUCAAAGAAACCAAAAAAAUGUACUAACAUACCGCUUCAAUUAAGUUCCAAUAAGCAUAAAUUAACGGCCAACUAAAAAUACAAAAGCUAAACCCUAAACCCUAAAAAUAUUUCACUAACAAAAGCAUUAUGCAAAUCAAAACAAACAACCACUGAACAGAAAAUUACGCAUUAAACAUCAUAACAACAUAUAUCCAAAGCCAAAAUAAACUCCAACAUUUCUAUUAUGAAACAAACAAACAAAAAGAAAUCCAUCAAUAUCGAAUAAAGAGAUCAGAUCCAUAUAACCACGUAUAAAAAAAUUCAAAAACUAUUAUUAUAGAACUUACAUCAGAGGCGUUACUGAUAAGCUCACGAAGAAAGAUCUCCUUGUUGCUGUAGAAAGUGUUGAUAAUCAAACUAAGAAGCUGAUUGAUCUCAGCUUGAAAUGCAAACGUCUCAGUAUCCGCCAUUGAUGAUAAACCUCUAACCUCCCGAUCCAAAACACACUAAGAAAUAUCGUAAAAUGAGAGAGUAUUCAAAUUUCGAAUAGAGAGAAAGAGGAGAAAAUAUCAGAGUGAGGCAGUUCUGUGAUGCAAGGCUUAAGGGUACCUUAUAUAGGGGAACUUCAUUAGGGUUUCUAGAUCCUUCUAUUGACGUACUUUUAAAAAAAAUAUAUUUUUGGGUUUACCUAUAUAAUAGCAGAAUAGGGAAUGCGGGAGCCACUCAUUUAUAUGCUUAAUACUUUUCUUCGCCAAUUAGACUUUGCUUUCUUUUUUUGACUUUUUUUGUUAUAUUUAUUAUAAAUAUAUAAAAUAGAAGGCAAAAAUGUUCGCUUAAAAUUAAAUUAAAUGUUAAAAAAUAAAAAAUUAUAUUCAAUUAAAAAAUAGAAAAUUUAAAAAAAAUUAUGAAUCAAGACGAGAUGAUGUUUUUUUUUCAAAUACAUUUUUUAGAAAAAAUAAAUAAAAAUUACUAAUGACGGAAAAUGCUUUUGGUUAAAAUCAUUUUUUGUAAAACGUGUAUGAUAAGUAACAUUUUAGCUUCCACGUUCGAUGAAGCUUCUUAUGGAAACUUUGAAAACGACUUUAAAAUUUAUAGAAUUUAUUAGAAUUAGUGGGGAUGAUGGGUCAGGUUGGGUUUGGUUCAAGUCGGAUCGAGUCAGGUUGGGCAUCAAUAUAAUUUUAGAUUCUGUCUAAAAGAUAGACUUAAAAUUUUGUCUAUAUUUGACUCGGAUAAAAAUAUUAAAACCUGAGCCCGAAUUGAUCUGCCCGUAUUGAAAAUAAAUUUAAAAUUUUUUAAUAUUUAUGCUUAAAUAAGACUAUAGGUGUUCAUGGGCCGAGUUGGGCUCGGGCCUAAGAAUUUUUUCCCGGGCUGGGUCUGGACAAAAUUUUAGGCCCAUAUUUCGGGCCGGGCCGGGCCCGGGCCUAGUAUGCGGGCCAAAAUUUUUUAUGGGCCGGGCUGGGUUACUAAUGGCGGAAAAUGCUUUUGGUUAAAAUCGUUUUUUGUAAAACGUGUAUGAUAAGUAACGUUUUAGCUUCCACGUUCGAUGAAGCUUAUUAUGGAAACUUUGAAAACGACCUUAAAAUUUAUAGAAUUUAUUAGAAUUAGUGGGGAUGAUGGGUCAGUUGGGUUUGGUUCAAGUCAGAUCGGGUCAGGUCGGGCAUCAAUAUAAUUUUAGAUUCUGUCUAAAAGAUAGACUUAAAAUUUUGUCUAUAUUUGACUCGGAUAAAAAUAUUAAAACCUGAGCCCGAAUUGAUCUGCCCGUAUUGAAAAUAAAUUUAAAAUUUUUUAAUAUUUAUGCUUAAAUAAGACUAGAGGUGUUCAUGGGUCGGGCCGGGUUCGGGCCGGGCCCAUAAAAAAUUUUGGCCCGCAUACUAGGCUCGGGCCCGGCCCGGCCGGAAAUAUGGGCCUAAAAUUUUGUCCAGACCCGGCCCGGGAAAAAUUCUUAGGCCCGAGCCCGGCCUGGCCCGGCCCUUUUUUUAAAAAUAAACACCAAUUUUUAAAAAAAUUUAAAAAUAUUUUUAAAAUAUUUUUGAAAUAUUUUAAAAUAUAAAAAAUAUAAAAAAUAUUUUUUAUUAUAUAUUCGGGCCGGGUCGGGCCCAGGCCAAAAAAGUCGUGCCUGAGGCCCCCAAACUCAUAUUUCGGGCCUAUAUUUUUAUCCGAACCCUCCCAUAUUUCGAGCGGGCCGUCCGGCCCAUGAACACCUCUAAAUAAUACUAAGAUAUGUGCAAGUUAGUAAGGAAAUAUCUUUAAAAUAGUAGCAAAAUUAAUAAUAAAACAAGAGUUGUACAAUAUUCAAACAACAACAACAAAAUAAUAAUAAUAUAAUAACGAAAUAGCAGCAAAACAGUGAAAAAGCAACACCAAAACAGUGGAAACAGCAGCAGGUUUGUUUGUUUCUUUACAAAUUGGGAUCAGACCAGGCUGGGCAUGGGCCAAAAAUAGCUUACCCAAGACUCGACCCCUUUAGAAAAUGGGUUUCAUUUUUUUGCCUAAGCCUAUUUUUUGAGCCUAUAUUUUUACCCAAACCCUCUCACUUUUAGGGCAGGCCUUCGGACCUGAUCGAGUGACCUGGCCCAUGAUCAAGUCUAAUUAGAAUAGUUCUUGCACUUUAAAUACUAGGUUUUUAUUCACCAUUUGGCUUUUGAAGUAUAUUCAUUUUUUUAUAUUUGUACCUAAAUUUUUUUGUACCAUUUUAGUACUUGAAUUAUAAUUUUGUUACACUUUUUUGGCCAUUGCCGUUAAUGGUGUUAAAAGAACAAAAAUCGAUUAGAACACACUAUGUGUUCCUGUUGACCGUUGAUGUGGACGUUGAUCGAGUUUUAUCCAAAUAAAAAUCAUUUAAAAUUAUAAAUGUCGAAACCAUUUUUUGAAAAACAAAAAAUUUUAGGUUGUCGACUUUUUAAAAAAUUAAAAUUGGGAGUCGCCACCAAUCUUUAUUAGGGUGUGAUUGGAUCACCUAAAAACGGCUUUGGUCUACGAGUUUUAGAAAAAUGGAUCCGGGAGUCAGUUACGUAUGAGGAAGGAUUAGCACCCUCGUAACGCCCAAAAUUGGUACCUAGUUAAUUAAUUAGUGUCUUAAGGUCAAGAAUUUGGAAAAAAUGUAAUCCUUAACAAAACUUAAAAGGCUACGUAUUAAGACCAUUAUUAUUUCAGAGAAAGAAGAUACCACACCCAAUGCGUUAGGGCACAGCAUUCUAAUUUUCCCCAAAAUGAAUUGGGCCAAAAUACUUGUACAAUAAAAUUUUAAAAGAACAUCCACUUAUCCAAGAUUUAAGAAAUCACACUCAAUACGUUAGGGCACGAUUCCUCUAGAAUCCCAAACUCGGAAUAUUUCCUUUACUUUAAAAGAACAUCCACUUAUCCAAGAUUUAAGAAAUCACACCCAAAACGUUAGGGCACAAUUCCUUUAAAAUCCCAAACUCGGAAUAUUUCCUUUAUUGUUUUUAGAAAAAAAAUUCAUUUCGAGAAAUCAAUGCGUCACAUCCAAUACGUUAGGACACAACGUGUUGAAUUCCCAAUAAUGAAUUAUUAUUUUUUGAUUAAAGAGAAAUGCUCGAUUGUUAGACUUAACGAAGAAAAUCGGAACCCAAUACGUUAGGGCUCAAUUUCCUUGAAAAUUCUAAUUUCAAGCAUUCUCUCAAUUUUGAAAAGUUUGAAAUCGUGUAAAGAAUGAUGUGAUGCUAUAUUAAAUAUACAAUGCAAUAAUAAAUAUUACAAAGGCCUAGAAAUAAUAUAAAUAAAUGAAUAAAUAAAAUCAAUAUACAUAAUAAAAAUAAUCACAUAUAAAAUAUCAAAUAAAUCAUAAAAAAAAUUCUUUUUAACAUAUAAACGGAAACAUGAAUUAAUAAUCGAAUGAAGAAAAUAAACAAAAUAUAAAGAAUUAAAGGCACAUAAUAUAUACAUUGAAAUUAAAAGCCAUACACAUAAUUUACAUAUGUAACUUUGGAUUAAAAUUUAUAAAAGCAGAAUAUAUAAUGCAUUUGUGAAAAUAAAAUAUAAAUUAUAAAGUAAGUGUUAAAAAAUACAUAUAUUUGAGCAUUUAAAAAAAUAAAUAUAUUCAUAUAUAUAUACAAGUAUAUAAAAAAACUGGUUAAAAAUAUUAAUAUGUAUACAUACAUAUAUAUACAAAGAUAAAUAUAACAUAUAUAGAUUAUAAAAAAUAAUUAUAUAUAAAUAAAAUAAAAUAAAAAUAGUUACCUCAUAUUAAAAAAAUAAAUCUGCGAAAAAUAUUAGUUUUUAAAAAAAAUAUAAAUACGCACAUAGAAACAAGUAUACAUAUAUAUAGCUAAAAUAAUAAUAAUUACAUAUGAAAAUAAUAAUAAUUACAUUAACAAAAUUAACUAAUUUUAAGAAAAAUAUAAAAAGGAUUAAAUUGAACUACAAGUAAACAAAUUUGGGGUCAAUCUGCAAAUAAAUAAAAUUUGGAGGACUAAAUUAAACGAGCAAAUUACAUAGAGGGGCUGGAAGGGAAAUUUCCCUUCUCCUCUAAAAUGGUGUCGUUCAAAAGGAUUAAAUUGGAAUUUAAAAUAAAUAAAAGGGUAAAUUAAAAAAAAGAAAGAAAACUUAAUUAAAAAAACAUUAAAAGGCGGAGGGGCUAAAUAAAAAAAUAAAUAAAAUUCGCAGUGAUAUCACCUUCUCCCUUUUUUAAAAUCGUGAAUAAGUAAAAAAAAUAAUCGAAAGAAAAAAAUAGUAAGCCACCUUUAAAAAACUGCCAAUCGUUCUUUUUUAUUCCUCCUCCUCUUUCCUCUUUUUUUUACAAUGAAGGAAGAGGCCUCUAUUUAUAAUUGAGCCUCCCCAAAUCAAACGGUACAGAUCAACGGCUGAGAUUAAAGGGUGUCUACAAAUUAAAUCUCUAAGAUUACAAAAUCGUAUCUUCUAAGAUUACAUAUCAUAUCUAGGAUUGCAUAUCAUAUCUAAGAUUUCAUAUCCUCAAAAAUUAUGUUUCCAUAUGUGAGCCCGGGCUAAAAUUGGGUAUUACAAUAAAUUUUUUGAUUUUUUUUAUUCCAUGUGAUGCCUUUGUUUGAUGAUGUUGGUAGGGAAGUCAUUCAUCUUUCUUGGGUAAUUUGAUAAACAAUCACCAUGGAUUUUGAUUCAAAGAUCCUUUAAAUAUGCAACAAAUGAUUGUUUCAAGAACAAGGAGAGAAAUAAAUAAGUAAUCAACAAUCUUUCCAAUGCCAAAGAAGCAUUAAUAUUUUUCAAAAACUUGUAAAUCGUCAUCACUUGGAAUUUAAAUAGUGCUUCAAUGACCCAAAUUUAUGGCGGAGAAACAACAAGAAAGAAAAUUGUUUUUACCAUUUUUAAGCAAAAUACAAUCUUUGUAGGUUGCUAAUGUUCCUUUACAAGUUUACAUGUGUAACACCCUUUAUUCGAGUAAACUCGGGCAAUGAGUGUUACAUUUAACACUGAACAUUUACUUACGAAUUCAAAUAGUUUUAAAUUGGAAUUUUACAAAAGAUAUCAGGUCCUUAUUAUGUUUUUAGGAACAUAAUUUAUCUAAUAAUAAAGAUUAAUUGCAUGUAAAUAUUGUUUUAGAUCUCAUAUCACUUAAUUAAAAUUUUUGCCCUGCAGGUCUGUAUGUCUCGAGACCAUGGCCUUCAUGUCUCAAGAUAUUGUCAUGGCAUUGUAGAAAUUUGGCUUUGAAAUUGCCUUAUCUAGGGAAAAUAGGGCUUUUUUCUCGAGAUAAAGUCCAAUAUAUCUUGAGACAUGGCAAUGUUAUUGUAGAUUUUUAGGUUCGCAGCUUUGAUGUCUCGAAACAUAUUUUGAGUAAUACCCAUCGCCUGACCUAAUUGUCGAGUCCAAGCUACCGGAUGCUACAGUCAUUGCCGAAGCAAUUACAGUUAAUUUACAAGAAAAUAAUCAUAAUCGCAUAUAAUUUAACAUCAAACACAUUCAUCUAUAGUUAAAGAAUCAAAACCGAGUCUUGUUCAAGCUUACAAAAGCUCUUUUGUCAACCUGAGCUCAAAAUAGGACCAAAUUGCAAAUUUUUAAAAUUUCAAGGUUGACGUCGUGAUGUCUCCAAAUAGUUUGUCAUGUUGUGACCUCAAGCCUCUCGACGUCACAACGUGACUCACAUUGAUCGACAUUGCGACGAGAUAGGUUACUCAUCGGGAUGUGAACUCUAUUUUUGGUAAAAAAAAUAGACCAUUUGGUACCUAUUUCAAAUAUUCCCAAACAUACCUAUCAAUUUACGCACCAAAGCCAACUUCAAUUGAACAAAAACAUACCUCAAGCAUACCAAGACACAUAACAUUUCAUACCAAAUCAAGUCAUCAAAUACUUCCAUUCAACCAUUUCAACAUAAGUUCAACUACUAUCAAUUAUUCAUUUUCAUACAUUCCAUCAAAUACCAUUCCAUAUAAAUCAACCAAACCAUUCAAUUAUCAAUCCUUACCUAGGCCAAGUAAUAUAGGAUCAUGCCAUUUCAUUUUCAUUUCAAAGACUUCAGCAUGUUUGCACAUCUAUUCAUUCAACUUACCAUUUCUUCCAUAUUUAACUUUUAGCAUAUCAAAUGACAUGUUCAAGUUUAAAAUCAUCAAUUAAACAACAUCAAGCAUUAGCUAAUAUUUCAUACACCAUCUAGUACAUACCAAUUUUUCAACAACUCAAUAUUUGCCACAAAUAUCAAACGUACCAAAUGAUCAACAUAGUGACUAUUUCCUUAACAUCUAAUCCUUAUAUACAUGUCAUGAUCCCAAAACUCAAAGUGAUCAAAAAUCUUACCAAUUUAAGGAUAGUGUGAGUUUCGAGGUAAUCCGGCUUGACGUGUUCCACAAGGUAUUGAUCUACAAGGAAAAGGAAAAACAACGGGGUAAGCAUAUAAAAUUCUUAGUAAGUUCAUAUGAAAUUUACAUUACUUACCUUAACAAUUCAACAAGCUAGAUUACUAAACAUAUUGGCAUUUAAUUGCCCUUCCUUGACAUACUUUGAUGCAACUAAGACACAUAAACAUAUACAACCAAAUAGGUUACCAAGAUCAUUUAGUAAGUAAUCAUAUACCAUAACUCAAUUUGAAAGCAUAUGCAAUCCAAUAUAUGCCUAAACCAUUUUAAUAUUUCCAUUUCCAUUAGGUUAAAGUUUCAUCUGAGGGAACUAUAGUAAAACGAACUCGGAUAAACGGGAAUAUUUUACUUACACAACCUGACAUUUUAACGAAAAUGCUCACACAAGUUGGCAUCGUAUUGAGGUUACUAGUCCAGGCUAAACCAACAAUACAUAUAACUUGAGAAUCUGCAACAAAUGCUAUAUCUCGUAUCAUCAUUUAAAUCCUUGAUCGAUUACGUGUAUAAUCCUAAUGACAUGUAAUAUGUAUCUUAAUCUUUUACUAAGUUCACACGAGUAUUAUUUUCGUCUACAUAUCAUUAACAAACCUUGUACUAGUUUACAUAUUUCAUACAAGUGCUGUAAACAUUCAACAUUCACAUUUGAUACUCCGUACCUAUUCGUAAUAACCAAUAUUUUCAUGUUUUUCAAUUCAGUCCAUGUGAACUCAAAUAUGUUAAUUUCACCAAUUAAGUAUAAACACCCAAUUGAAACAAUACAAUUCAAAAUUUUUUUUAAUAAUUUCCAUAUGAACUUACCUGGUAAAACAACAAAUAAAUGAAUCUUUGAGGACUAAUUGAUAAUUUUUGCUUUUCCUCAAUUUCUCUGGUUUGGUUCAAUUUUUGAUCUAUAUAAUUAUUCAAUUCAAUUUAUCAAUACCAAAAAUUUUUAUAUCAUCUCAUAAUAUGCAUGAACUAGUUUAAAUUCCAUCUUUUCAAAUGCCUAUAAAUUUUACAUUUUAUUCAAUUUAGUCCCUAAACCCGAAAUAGAAUAACUUUCAAUUUUAAGCUUCGAUUUCAGAGCCAAUCUUAAUCACAUCCUUCUAGGACCCUCUAUUAUCUAUUAUUAUAGAAAUUUCAUAUCAAAUAUUCAAUUUAUACACUUUAGUCAUUUUUGACAAAACUAACAAUUAAACUUUAAAUUUUGGUCCCUUUUUCACAUCUAAGUUUAAAAUUUAUCAAUUUAACAUCAAAUUAUUUAAGAAAUCAUCAAUGGGAACUUUUAAAAACUUUAACAAUUUUACAAAUUGGUACAUGGGCUAGCUAAAUCAAGCUCUCAUGACCACAAAAACAUAAAAGUUACACGAAAAGAACUUAAUUGAGCAUACCUAAUAGUUGCUGAAACUUUGAAGCUUUUGAAACCCUAUUUCUCCCUUUUAGUUUGGUGGAGAAGAUGGUGCAGAGAAAAAAAUGGUUUGUUUUUCUUUUAAUUUUUGCUUAUAUACCUUUAAUUAACUUGAUUAAUCAUAAUUAAUUAAUAAAAACUUAAUUAAUUAAACCUUAAGUGUAAUCAGCCAAUGGGUUUUAAAUACAUCCACCACUAUUUGAAGCAAUUAAAAUGGUUUAAUUGCCUUUUUGAUCCUUUAGCUAUUUAAAAAUCUAUAGUGAUAAGAUUUUUAUAAUUUAGUCCAUGUACCCUAAUUAACUAUCAAUUCAGAAAAAUUACUAGACCAAAAUUUAAUAUAUUUUUAUAUUAACCUCGUAAAUAUUAAAUAUUAAUAUUUAUGGACUUAAACUACGGAAAUAGGGUUCUGAAACCAUAGUUUCUGACCCCACUAACAAUCGGGUUGUUACAUAGUUUCUUCCGGCUCCCAUGUAGCCUUUUAUGUACUGUAAUUAAUACUUUCAUUAGUGCCACAUGUUUAUUUCUUAAAUAUUUUAUUCUCGAGCUAAAAUCUUUACCGAUUCUUCACUAUACAUCAAAUCCGGAUGUAAUUCUAUUUCAUCAGGAGAUAACAUAUGGGAUAGAUAGGAUAUAUAUCAUCGUAACAUUGAUACGUGGAAGACAUUAUGAAUCUUGUCUAAUUAUGGACGUAGAGCUAGUUGAUACGCUACAGGUCCAAUUCUUCCAAGAAUUUCAUGCGACCCAAUAAACCUCGGACAGAGUUUUUUUUUCUGUCAAAAUGCAAAACUUUCUUCCAAGACAAAACUUUCAGAAAGAUUUUAUCACAAAUCUGAAAUUCAAUGUCUUUUCUUUUUAAGUCACUAUAAGACUUUUUUCUGUCGAAAGUAACUUUCAAACAGUCUCGAAUAAUCUAGACCUUUUCUUUUAUUUCUUGUAUCAAAUCAAUUCCUGUUAACUUUCUUUCGCUUAACUCUAACCAGCAUAGAGGAGUUAUGUAUUUACAACCAUAUAAAACCUCGUAAGAUGCCAUUUUAAUGCUCGGAUGAUAGCUAUUGUUGUGAGCAAACUUAUCUAACGGUAGGAAUCUUUUCCAGCUACCUUCAGAUUUAAUCACACAACAUCGUAACAUAUCUUUGAGUAUUUGAAUCACUCGUUUUGAUUGCCCGUCAGUCUGAGGAUGAAACGCUAUACUGAAAUUCAGUUUCAUACUCAAGGCUUCGUGUGACUUACCCCAAAAUCUGGAGGUAAAUCUUGAGUCUCAGUCUAAAAUGAUAGACAAUGGCACACUAUAUAAUCUGACAAUAUCUGAGAUAUAAAUUUUAGCUAACUUCUCAUGGUAACCAUUACUAUCUUCCUAAAUAAAAAUAUUAAUUAAUUACAAAUAAUAAUUAAAUCAUUUUUCCUGGACAAAUGGCUUGUGAUCAUGUUACUUUUCCAUUUAUCAUGUAAUGCCAAUGGAAGAAUAUCAUUUACCAUAUUUGGGCUAUGAAUUCCACUAUUGUAAGUGGUGUUAUGUCAUGCAGAAGUUGUAUACCUAAUAUACCAACUUUUGGCUCUAUUACCCAUUUGAACUUGGGUUUUUAAUAUCUAUGCAAAGAAGGGCAGAAGGUCUUUGGGAGAACCCUUUAGGAAAACACUAGACAAGAACAUCCUUAGAUUAUCAAGUGUUGGACUUGUUCCCUUGGUUGAAGGAUCUUCACUUGUAGCUACUUCUUUGUUGAAAUAUGUUCCUCUGAACGUUGUUGCCUCCACCCCUUUGAAUAGCCUUUAAGGUACUAGCCUAUAAAUGAGCUUGAAAGUUAUAGAAAUCAUACCCUCCUUCAAGUGGCAAAGACAAAUGUCCCUCUACUAAUAUAUCUUUAGUCUACCUUUUAUUUUCUUACUUGUGUGUUGUUUUUUUUAAUGAAUGAGAGAGAAAACUUGGAGUAAAAACUUCAAUUGUUGGAGGGGGAAUUGGAAGUUUUAAAGAAUAAGUGUUUUAAUAAGGAUAGUCACCCGAAAAGAGACCAAUUACAUUAUGUGUAACACCCUAAUUCUGGCUCAGAAGUCCAGUUGGAUCCAAAGCCUUAUAGUGGUCGCUAGCACGAACUAGUUCAAUCAAUCAUUCAAUUUAGUCUCAAAAUUAAAAAUUCAAAGAAGUCCAUGAUUCAUAACAAUACUAAAAAUCUAAAUUUUAUCAUUUCAUCUGAAUUUUCUGAAACAAUUCAUUUUAGGCUUAUUCACAAUUUAGCCCUUGAAAUAUACCAAUUUUUCCAUUUUAAUACCUAAAUUUUUUUGUCCCAAUUUUUUACCUAAAGUAUCAAUUUCCUCUAUUUUUGGUCCAUUUGUAACAGAAAUUAAAAAAAAACUGUUAGGCAACUUUGGCCAAUGAAAAAACGGCACAUGGCAUGUUUUGGCCAAUGAAAAAAUGCCACAUGGCAAUUAAUUUUAUUUAAAAUAAAUUAUUAAAUUUAAACUUAAAAAUAAAAAAUUAUAAUAUUAAAAAUACUUUUGACAUUGACCAACCACAACAUUGACUUGCCACAUAGCGCAAUUAGAACAUACAAUGUGUCCCUUUUUUUUUACUAUUAUAUUGAUUAAGAAUGUAAAAAAAAUCAUAUAUAAUAUAUACUUUUUAAAAAAAUUAAAAAUAUUUUUUUAUAAAAUUUUAAAAUAUAUAAUUUUAAAUUUUAAAAAUUCAAAAUAAUAUAUAAAAAUUAAAAAGUGUUAUAAAAAUUAAAAAAAGGUAUUUAAAUUUUUUUACACUUUUAGUAAUAAUAUUAUUAAUUUCAACUAAUUUCUUUUCAGUUAUCCUAUUUUUUAUAAAUUUUAUUUUUAUAAAAAAUUAUAAUUUAUGUUUUUUCUAUAUUUUAUAUUUAUUUAUAAUUUUAAUAUAUUUAACUUUAUUUUUUAUAUUUUUAAUGUAUAUAUGCAUUUAGUAAAAGAAAAUAUUUAUUUUUACAUCAAAAUGUACAUGGCGCUUUGUGAUUAGUUACAAGAUUUUUUUUAUCGUUUGUCAGAAAAUGAACUAAAAAAUAUAAGGGAGACAUAUACCAAAUUGAGGAUUUAAGUGUAUUUUAGAUAUCAAAUUAGGGAAAAAAAUUAAGUACCAAAAUGAAAAAAUUGGGAAUUCUUUAAAAGUCAAAUGAUGAAUUAAGCCUUUAUUUUACCAAUAUUAUACAAAUAGUUCGAAAAAUUUUCACCGAACUGAUCUCAUAUCAGCAUGAACUCAAUACUGAAAUUUUCGGGGUGUUGCAUUAUGUUAUUAAGAGCAAGGAUAAAGAGUUGGCAUUGUUGGAGAGAGAGACAAAGCAUUGUCUGAGGAACUGAAGAGGGUAAUGAAGGAGCUACCUGUUGAUACAGCAAAGAAUGAAGAUCUAGUCGAGCAGAUACUCAACACUACACAAUGCCACCGCGAAUGGACGCUUUGGAAAUGCAGCUAAAGUAUGGGCCAUUAGAUUUCCUCAUGAGUUGUUGCAUCCCGUGUUAGAACCCUUAUUAAAAAGAGUGGAGCUUCGUGCUACUGUUGCUGCUCCACUAGAGAAUAAUGAGAGACUACGAAGGAAGCUACUCUAGAUGCUACCCUAGGCUUUGAAUAGAAUGUUAUAAUUAGUCAAGCGACUACUUCUGUUGUCGAGGAUGACUGAACUUUUAUAUUGUUUUUAUGAACCAUUGGUUUUGUUUUUUCGUGUUUGUUGUUUAUGAUCUAGGUUCAAAGUUGUUUGGAUCAGUGACGAUCAGGCUAGGUUGCUUAGCAGAAGAAUCCAUGAAGGAUUCCCAGAAACGACAUCAAUUCUUGACAUCGUUUUUGUGAUAUUGGUCAAGAUAGGUUGAAGGUGAGCUAUUGGUGAUCAGUAACACAAAAUCAAAGGGUGCAAGAGUCUUCUGAAGCACCCUCUGCUUAAGACAACAAAGUAUAACGGAAGAAGGAUCAAAGAAAGCAGGGUUUAUGGAAGAGAUUGUUUUCGUACCUGAUCAACAUGGUGAAAGUGCAUAUUUAUAGGCUUUGUGCCUAGAGCUGCUCGGGCUGGUGCCUCGAUUUCAGUUGGUUGUGCUUGGGCAUUUUUUUCGCAUAUUCAAGGUCAUUAGCUUCCUACCUUAUUUCGUUUUAACUCUUCUCGGUCCUUGAUUGUGUGAAAGCUUUUGAGCUUUGCACAAGAAGGUCCCUUAUGAAGCAUUUCAAACCUGUUCUUAUUAUAUUAUGAGCUGAUAACCUUUUUGUGGGUUUUUGGUGAUUGAUUAGCCUACUAUUGAUUAGACCAUUAUAUUUGUCUGGGCUUGAGCCUGUGUGUAUUGUCUUUAGGUCUAUACAUUGAAUUUUGUGUAUUAAAACUGUUAUUUUGGAUUUAUCCAAAAUCAAAAUGGUAUUGGAUUUAGAUGUGUUGAAUGAGUUGAGAUAAGGCUAUUCAAACUGAAAAAAGAAGAUUAACACACUUGUGAGUCGGCGUAGCUAUGCGUGUCGACGGUGCUUGCUUUGCAUGCUUGAUUAAUUUCCUCGACACCUACGGCUCGUUGUCGACGGUAUUUCCUACUUGGUGAUUCGCAGAAGUUCCUGCAGCCGUUACCCCCAUUAUUCACAUUUUUGUUUGUGGAAAUCAAAAGAAAAUACAUCUACUGCUGCUACUGCUGCUACUGCUGCAUACAAUACCGGAUAUCUUAACAAGGCUUUACACCAUUCAAUAUUAAAAAAGAAAAAGAAAAAGGAAGCGGUCCCAUCAGAUCAUAUGGAAGUUAAUUUCCAACUUUCACAUUUUUAAUUCAAGUAAAGACCUGAUGAAGCAAUGUAUAAUAACCAUUUAAGAAAACAUAUGGCAACAGCAACCAUUCUAAGCAAGCACCAAAGAUAAGGCACCGAUAAAAUGUAUAAAUAUACCAGAAACAGAACAGCAAUUAUCAUUAAGAACUUUCUCCAAAAUCACUAACAAAACCUCCCAAAAAGGCACAAAACAAAAUAUUAAACCUAAGGAUAACUUCAAUAAUAAUUAAAAAAAAACUAGUAAAAAGUUCCAACAAGAAGAGUGGUGCUUAGUCAACUUCUUCCAUCUUGCUGCCUUCAGCAUCAGCAUCCUCUAAUGGGGGCAUAUCAGCAUCAGCUUCACCUUCACCUGCAUCCUCGUCAAUGCUCAAGCCGAGUUUCAGCAUCCUGUGGAUUCUGUUGCCAAAGGUGUUAGGCUCAUCAAGGCUGAAGCCAGAGGUGAGGAGAGCAGUCUCGAAGAGAAGGAGAACAAGGUCCUUCACAGAUUUAUCAUUCUUCUCUGCAUCGGCUCUCUUUCUCAGCUCUUCCAUGAUGGGGUUCUCCGGGUUGAUCUCCAUUGUCUUCUUGCUUGACAUGUAGCCAGCCAUGCUGUUAUCCCUCAAAGCCUGGGCCUUCAUGAUUCUCUCCAUGUUUGCAGUCCAACCAUACUCGCCAGUCACUAAACAGCAAGGUGAGUCAACCACACGAUCAGAAACCACAACCUUUUCAACCUUGUCACCCAGCACAUCCUUGAUGACCUUGCAAAGACCCUCAAACUUUUCCUUCAAAGCUUCCUUCUUCUUCUUCUCAUCCUCACUCUCAUCAAGUUUAAGACCUUCCUUGGUAGCUGACACAAGCUUUUUGCCCUCAAAUUCUUUGAGCUGUCCGACAGCAUACUCAUCAAUAGCAUCAACCAUGUAAAGGACCUCAUAACCCUUCUUCUUCAGCUUCUCAAGGAAGGGAGAGUUCUCAACUGCCUUUUUACUCUCACCAGUGAUGUAGUAGAUAUCAUUCUGACCCUCCUUCAUUCUGGUCACAUAGUCCUUCAAGCUGGUCAGCUCAUCACCACUCUUGGUGGAGUGGUAGCGGAGCAAUUCGGCAAUUUUAGUCCUGUUCUGAGAGUCCUCAUGGAUACCAAGCUUGAG
RNAcentral lists this long non-coding RNA (67066 nucleotides) under Gossypium barbadense (sea-island cotton). RNAcentral describes it as "long non-coding RNA (GBAR_LNC018250)". The stretch from base 6402 to 6488 matches the Rfam family "MIR7486 microRNA precursor family". Lineage: Eukaryota; Viridiplantae; Streptophyta; Magnoliopsida; Malvales; Malvaceae. The record is from RNAcentral.